RNAcentral lists this long non-coding RNA (72064 nucleotides) under Glycine max (soybean). RNAcentral's name for it is "long non-coding RNA (GMAX_LNC003818)". The stretch from base 37530 to 37725 matches the Rfam family "U2 spliceosomal RNA". The record is from RNAcentral. Lineage: Eukaryota; Viridiplantae; Streptophyta; Magnoliopsida; Fabales; Fabaceae.
AUGCUGUCCUCGACGCUUGCCUCGAACAGGACCCAGACAGCAAGGUUGCCUGCGAAACAUGCACCAAAACCAACUUGGUCAUGGUCUUCGGAGAAAUCACGACCAAGGCCAAUGUUGACUACGAGAAGAUAGUGCGUGACACCUGCAGGAACAUCGGCUUUGUCUCAAACGAUGUGGGACUGGAUGCCGACAACUGCAAGGUCCUCGUCAACAUUGAGCAGCAGAGCCCUGAUAUUGCUCAGGGUGUACACGGCCACCUCACCAAAAAACCUGAAGAAAUUGGUGCUGGUGACCAGGGUCACAUGUUUGGCUAUGCCACUGAUGAAACCCCUGAAUUGAUGCCAUUGAGCCAUGUUCUUGCAACAAAACUCGGUGCUCGUCUCACCGAGGUUCGCAAGAACGGUACCUGCCCUUGGCUGAGGCCUGAUGGGAAGACCCAAGUGACCGUUGAGUAUUACAAUGACAAUGGUGCCAGGGUUCCGGUUCGUGUCCACACCGUGCUAAUCUCCACCCAACACGACGAGACUGUCACCAAUGACGAAAUUGCUGCUGACCUCAAAGAGCAUGUGAUCAAGCCUGUGAUCCCAGAGAAGUACCUUGAUGAGAAGACCAUUUUCCACUUGAACCCUUCAGGCCGUUUUGUCAUUGGUGGCCCUCAUGGCGAUGCUGGUCUCACCGGCCGCAAGAUCAUUAUCGAUACUUAUGGAGGAUGGGGUGCUCAUGGUGGUGGUGCUUUCUCCGGCAAGGACCCUACCAAGGUUGAUAGGAGUGGUGCUUACAUUGUGAGACAGGCUGCUAAGAGCAUUGUGGCAAGUGGACUUGCCAGAAGGUGCAUUGUGCAAGUGUCUUAUGCCAUUGGUGUGCCUGAGCCUUUGUCUGUGUUUGUUGACACCUAUGGCACUGGAAAGAUCCCUGACAAGGAGAUCCUUAACAUUGUGAAGGAGAACUUUGAUUUCAGGCCUGGUAUGAUCUCCAUCAACCUUGAUCUCAAGAGGGGUGGAAAUAACAGGUUUUUGAAGACUGCUGCAUAUGGACACUUUGGAAGAGAGGACCCUGACUUCACAUGGGAAGUGAUCAAGCCACUCAAGUGGGAGGAGGCCUAAGGCCAUUCAUUCCUCACCGCUGUGUGCUGGGAGUUUUUUGAGCUUUGCCCUUAUCAUAUCUAUAAUUUGUUUCAUUUAUUUUACUUAAUUCGUGUGUGCUUCUCACUUUCUCUUCCUCCUCUCCAUUCUAUUUUGUUUCUUCUAUCCUCAUAUGUAAUUUUUUUACAUGAUCAAUUAAACGUGAUACAAAAUUAUUCUUAAUUAGCACGUGUCCUUGUUUCUAGUCCCUUUACUUUUGAAUGUCUAUGUCUACACAUACAUAUAGGACGUUUUACUUUUAUAUGUGUGUCAGCUUGGUUGGAAUUCUGUGGUAUCCGUUUAUCAGUUAGUUCAGGUGCACACAAAUGCGACAAUUAGUUGGUAAAACUGCAAGAGAUUUUGCAAAUAUCAUACAAAUAAUAACAAUAAAUAGUUUGUCGUUUUCAUGCUGCUGGUUUGAUCUUCGCAGUUCACACUGAUCAAACUAAACAACGGUGUUUGGUAAUAUUCAACCUUCUCUCUUUCAAACCUUACUACUAACCUCGUGCGUUGGGUAACAUUAGGCUUCCAACUUAUCUGUUUUCUUUGCCAUAACUUGUUGCCAAAGAGUGUUUGUUCAUAAUAAGUGUUGGAGAUAUAAGAGUGUUGGAAAAGUUUAUUUGCCAUAACUUGUUGCCAUAAAGAGUUGAAGUAACCUCUUGAUAGGAAAAUGGCUCAAGACAAGCUGUGAAUAGAAGUCAGAAAACAAGCAAAUGAAGUAGAGUAAGUGGAAUAAACAAAGUCCAAUAGUUUAGUGAACUUAUAAUCAUGUUGAGAAUGAGAAGGAUCCACCCUCACAAAAAAGGUUAUUGCCUAAUUAAUAGUAGGGAUUGAAGAAGUAUCAAUAAUCAAUAAGAGGGACAUUUGGAUUGACACAAACUAUUAGUAUAAAAAAAAAAUGUAAAACUAAAUGGACAACAAUCUAAGAAAGCGAGUAUGUGUUGUACUCGGAAAACAUAACAUAAUGUGAUUUUGAUUGUGGAAACUGAAAACAAUAACAUUUAAGUUUUAUUUAUCUCUUUGCCUAACAAUUUUUUUAAUUACUUUUUUUAUAGUUUUUAUGAUGAAGAUAAUUAAUAUUUUUUACAAAUAUUAUAUUUUCCUUUUUACCAUCUUUGAAGAUAAUUGCUUUUUUUUCCAAUUUAGACAAAUAUUUGAGUAUCAAUGAUAUUCCUUUUUAAUCCAUUAUUGCAAUUUAAAAGACCAUCAAUGAUUACAUUUUCAAUCAAAUGACUUUAUUAGUCUUCACUUUACAUCGAUUUAAAUCAAACUAAUAAUUUUGUAUGGACUAAAUCUCUGAACAUUUUUAUAUUUACAACAUAUUUUAACAUUUAUUAAAUAAUUAGUAUUUAAUACUAUUAGUAGAAUAAUGGGAGUAGCAGGAGGGAGGCACUGAGAGAAUAGAGAUGGCAUGGAAGUAAGCAAUCAAGUCAAAAUCAGAGUUGGCCAACCCCAAAGGCUGUAGUAGGUAAGCAUGGCCCAUUUUAGUUUUUACAUUCAUCUCUCAUUUUCACCUCAACGGUUCAGAUUCAAUCUGACUCCCCGAUCUCAGCCGUGGAUUCAAAUGCCACCUCAGGCACAUGCAAUUCCAAAUGGAUGAACCUAACCCACAAUCUAAUCUUGUUACUUAGGGGCUUUUCCGUCAUUAAAUGACACCACCUACCCCCUUCUCCCUAUAAAUGGCAACUCAAUGCCCCCCUUAGAACUCGCAGCGCUUGAUUUGAGGCCAGGCAAGCCCCACUCAACCACCACACCUCUCCUCGUUCACGCUACCCCUUUCUGCUCUUCUUCUACCUUUCAAGGUACUCUUCUUUCCCUCUGUUGCUGCAACCUUCUCUUUCUUUAAGAUUGCCUCAAUUUCGGAUCUUGCACCUCUGGGUUGCUUUGCUUUGCUUUUUCCUCUACUGGGUUGAUUUCUGUUUCCCUAAACCGGUUUAGACGAAUGUGAACACUACUUCUUUUGUUUAAUUACUCUGGAAUACGUGUUAGGCUUUCAGAUCUAGUUGAAAUCGUAUUGCACUUUUAGGGGGAGUUUGGAUUUCUAAUAAGAAAUUGACCUUUUGCUGAGAAUUGGUUCGGUGAUUAGAGGGUUUCCGUAAAUUUUUGAAGUUUUACAUGCUUGUAUCUGUUUAUUUUUGUUUCUCACAUCUAUUAUUGUUAGGUGAAGGAAAUUAUGUAUUGAGAGUCUGUCUGAUACUAAAUAUAAACACCUCAAUAGGGGCUCUAACACUGAUUUUAUCAUUUGCUGCUUGUGUGUAUGGUUAAAGAAAGGCAAUUGUGUUUUAAUUUUCUGCAAGCUUUCGUUUGCUGAAUUUUAUGCAUAUAUUUUCCUCCCUUUUGUGAACUUCCUUUUUGUAGUUCUAAUUCCAUUUUUGGUGUCUGCAGUUUUAAAAGUAUAAAGAUGGCAGAGACAUUCCUAUUUACCUCAGAGUCGGUGAACGAGGGACACCCUGACAAGCUCUGCGACCAAAUCUCCGAUGCUGUCCUCGACGCUUGCCUCGAGCAGGACCCAGACAGCAAAGUUGCCUGCGAAACAUGCACCAAAACCAACUUGGUCAUGGUCUUCGGAGAAAUCACGACCAAGGCCAACGUUGACUACGAGAAGAUAGUGCGUGACACCUGCAGGAACAUCGGCUUCGUCUCAAAUGAUGUGGGACUGGAUGCCGACAACUGCAAGGUCCUCGUCAACAUUGAGCAGCAGAGCCCUGAUAUUGCUCAGGGUGUACACGGCCACCUUACCAAAAAACCUGAAGAAAUUGGUGCUGGUGACCAGGGUCACAUGUUUGGCUAUGCCACUGAUGAAACCCCUGAAUUGAUGCCAUUGAGCCAUGUUCUUGCAACAAAACUCGGUGCUCGUCUCACCGAGGUUCGCAAGAACGGUACCUGCCCUUGGCUGAGGCCUGAUGGGAAGACCCAAGUGACCGUUGAGUAUUACAAUGACAAUGGUGCCAGGGUUCCUAUUCGUGUACACACCGUGCUAAUCUCCACCCAACACGACGAGACUGUCACCAAUGACGAAAUUGCUGCUGACCUCAAAGAGCAUGUGAUCAAGCCUGUGAUCCCAGAGAAGUACCUUGAUGAGAAGACCAUUUUCCACUUGAACCCUUCAGGCCGUUUUGUCAUUGGUGGCCCUCAUGGCGAUGCUGGUCUCACCGGCCGCAAGAUCAUUAUCGAUACUUAUGGAGGAUGGGGUGCUCAUGGUGGUGGUGCUUUCUCCGGGAAGGACCCUACCAAGGUUGAUAGGAGUGGUGCUUACAUUGUGAGACAGGCUGCUAAGAGCAUUGUGGCAAGUGGACUUGCCAGAAGGUGCAUUGUGCAAGUGUCUUAUGCCAUUGGUGUGCCUGAGCCUUUGUCUGUGUUUGUUGACACCUAUGGCACUGGGAAGAUCCAUGAUAAGGAGAUUCUCAACAUUGUGAAGGAAAACUUUGAUUUCAGGCCUGGUAUGAUCUCCAUCAACCUUGAUCUCAAGAGGGGUGGAAAUAACAGGUUUUUGAAGACUGCUGCCUAUGGACACUUUGGAAGAGAAGACCCUGACUUCACAUGGGAAGUGGUCAAACCCCUCAAGUGGGAGAAGGCCUAAGUAAUUCAUUCCACUGCUCUAUGCUGGAAGUUUUUUGAGCGUUGCCCUUAUAAUAUGUCUAAUAUCCAUAACUUUCCACGUCUCUUACUCUGUGUGUUUCUCUCCUCUUCCUCCUAUUUUGUUAUUUGUAUGUUCUUUUGUAAUUUUUUACGUGAUCAACUAAAAACAUGUACUCUCUGUUUGUAUGUAUGCCCUACCAAUGUGUCUCUUAAUAUCAAUAUCAAAAAGAGAGUGUUCAAGUUAAUGUUUGGAUUCCAAUGCUUCUCUCGAUGAAGUUCGAGCUGCAAAUUUGGUCAUAUGAUAAAUGCUAGGCAAGUGUGUUGUUGUAUACAUAAAAACUGCUAAAACUAAGGUGUUAAAUAUUACUGGUCAUGUAAGAUAUUGUUUUCUAAGUUUAUAGUUAGUAGUAAAUAAUAGUUACACUAUUAAACAAAGUAAAACCUUUCAAAAAAAGAAAACAAAGUAAAUCAUAUUUUAUGUCACGUCCUCCAGAAACAAAGCUACUGGCAUCUUUUACUUGCUAAUUAUUGUAGUAUCUUGUUAUGUUGCUUUUUGUUUACCUUCCCGUCUUCAUCACCAUUGGUAUUGAGAAAACAAGUUUGAACAAUGUGCACAUUUCGAGAACAAGGACAACUUGAUUAAGUGCUGUGUCAAAGUUCAGUGAGUAAUAAUUGAUUAUUUCUCAUUUAAUUUUAUGAUUUAUUUUUUGUCCAAAAAAUAGGAAGUCUUCUCUAACAUUUGUUAAUCUAUUGAUUGGUACACCAUCGUGCUGCUAUGGCCCCUAUAUAUCUUACUUUUUCUUUUUCUUUUUUUUUUUUCCGUUUACAGAAAAACUUAUUGAAACAAAACCAUAAUACUAGUCUUUAGGAUUUGGCUAGGGAGGAAUAGAAUAUUGAAAAAAUGGUAAGCAACAAGACUAUAAAAUAUAUAUUUUCAAAUGAGCAAUAAAAUAUAUAAAUAUAUGAAAUUAAUUCUAAACUUAAAUCAAAAAAUAAUUAUUUAUAAUUAAAAUUUUAACAUUUACUUUCCUAAUAAAUUCAUCAUUUAUGAGCCUUUUAAUUACUACAGUAUGUUAGAUAGUAUCAAACACUAUUAUUCGAACCAAAAAACACUAUUAUUGUACAAAUAAAUAAUGCGACAAAAAUAGAAAAAAAAAUUACAUAAAUUGUUAUAUACUUUUAUUAUAUGAUCAUAAUAUUUAAUUUAGACAAGUUUUGAUAUAUAUAAUUGCUUAAAAAAUUACUGUUCUAGAAAUAUUCCAUAGCAUUCAUAAUUUCAUUUUAUCUUUCUUUAUAUGACAUCAUAUUAUUUAUCAUACUAUAUCUCUUUCUCACAUUAAGUGUAAAAAAAAGUUAAAAAAUCUCCACCAUUAAUUUUUGAAUUUAGACUGUGAUUGCAACUUACACUUUGUCCUCAAUAGCUCCCUCCCCCUUCGAAAAAAGAAACUACAACGAGUCAUUUGGACUAUCCAUAUAUCUGAGUCCGACAACCAACGUUUCCGUUCAUCAAGUCGGCCCAAGAUAGUCAUGUAAACCCAUGGUGUCUGAGAACAACAAAUUCUUAUCGACCAAAAAUGAUAAUUGGACAACUAAAAUCUUACCAAAAAUGAAAAAACAAAAAUAAAAUCUGAUCCGAAUAACAAUGAAAAGGAAAGAACAAAAAAAAUUCUUCGGCACACUGAGGGGAAACCAUCAACGGGUCAUCUUAUAAGAACAGGUGGAGCCAUAGAAACCCUAUCCUUUGAUUGAUUAAGAGCAAAAGAACAAAAAGAUGUUUGAUCUCUCGAGAAAUAAUGCUGUUGCCUUUGUCAUAACGAUUUUGAACUUUUGAUAUAUAAUCUUAAGCCACUAGUAAGCAAUUUCACGUAGCCCAAUCCACACAUUGGACUACUAUUAAGUAUCAACAAUUCAUUCAUAUGUCCAGACAAGGAGAAAUUAAUUUUAUGAAAUCAAAACAUAAAAGAUAUUUAAUAUAAAUAUAAUAUCUAUGGAAUAAAAUCACUUUUUAUGUAUUUAUUUUUUUAAUAAAAAAACAACACAUCACUACAAAAAAAAUUCUCUUUCGUUUAAAUAGCAGCAUUUGUUCUUUUGGUAGUUAGUUAUAUAGUUAUGUGUUUUUUUAAGAAAGUUAUGUGUUAUUUUUUAUAAAAAAAAAAUAUUAGGUAACACUUUAAAGAUAUUUUACAUUUUCAUUUAAUCAUGGAUUACCAAUUACAGUGAAAUUAUUAACUAUUAUGAUAAUUAUCCUAAAAAAUUAUAUUUAAGGUCAUUUUUAAUUGAUGAAUAUUGGAUAAUGUCAUUUUUUUAUACUAACAUUAAAAUUAUUUUUUUUUUCAAAAUGAUUUAUAAGUUAGGCUAUGUUCAGUUAGAUAUUUUAGUUAAUUUUUAAAUUUUUUUAUUAACUAAAAAACUCAUUUGAUUGUUUGGUAAAAAAAAUUAAUAGUUUCUAAUGUUUUUUAAAAUUUUGGUUUCUAACUUAUAGUUUUUUAUUUUUAUUCUUAAUAUAUUUAUUCAUUUUAUUUGUUAUUUUUUAAAAUAAAUCAUGAUUUUAUUAUUUUUCUGUCAUUUUGUAUUUUUUAGUUAUUUCAAUAAUUAAUUUUACUAAAUAUUUUUAAUUUAAUAAACUGAUUUUUCAACUACUAGUUUUUCAACUUUCAAUUAACUUUCUAAUUUUCAAUUAGUUUUUUUUUUGUUAUUUUUGCCGAAGAUAAGCUUAAUGAGUUAAUGAUAAUGUAGUACCAAUAUAAAAAUUUUGUACAAUAAUUAAAGGAAAAAAAAACUUUACAAGCGCAUUGAAUUAAAUUCAUCCGAUACAUGCUGCUUACAAGUUACAACAGUUUAUUACCCGCACGUUUAGUGUCGCAUUUUUUGGUCAUGAACGUGUAUUAAGUUGAAGAAAGUAAUAAUAAUAAUGGCUGUAAAAAAAAAAGAAGAAAGUAAUAAUACUUGGUUCUUCCUUACUGUGAUUAUGAACAAUUUGACGAAAAUUUUGAAGAAAACUUAAAUGAUGAAAGUUAAGUGCUAUGUGGGAUGGGUGAAGAUAAACAAUUCACCAUGAACAGUUGGGGUAAUGGCGUGAUGCACAGAUUGCUUUUGGAAAGUGCCAAUGUGACAUGAAAUUGCAAAUUUUGAAAGAAAACACGUGUGUGGUGCUUCUAUUCUUCUGUCAUGGAUGAGUGCCAAGGGAAUGAUCAAUGAAUGGAGCUAAACAGUCAUUUUUUAAUAAUCGUAUCAUUUGCUGCGGAUUAUUUAUUCAUUUUAUUAAUGAGUAAAUAAUAUACCAAUUACAUUUAAUUUUAAAUAUUCUGUAAAUAUUUCUUAAUUUUUUUUUAUCACAUCAUUAACUUAUUAAACUUAUUUUUUUCUUUACAGGUGUUAAAUACUUGAAUAACAUUUAGGAAUAUAAUUAUUUUCUUUACCGGUGUUAAUUUUUCUUUAUUGGUGUUAAACUUAAAUAAUAUACUUAUUUUUUUAUCUUUCCUUUCCUAAUAACUCAUUUCUAUUAGGAAUAUAAUUAAAUAUUUUCAUCAAGAUCAUUUUUUUAUUUAUUUAUAAUACUCAAAUAAAGAUGUGAUAGAAAAGUAUAUAAAAAUAAGAUAGCAAUGAAAUAAAAUUUUAAUUAAUAUUUUUUAAUAAAAAUAUCAAAAUAAGUUUUUUUUUCAUUUUCUUUGCAAUUAUUGAAAAAAUAAAAUGAGAUUAAUAAUCAUAAACUAAUAGUGUAAAAUAAUUUUAUAUUAUUAUUCAAUUAUAAAUUAUUAUUAAUAUGAUUAGGAUCAUUAUGUAAAAUUGUUUUGAGUGUAUAUUUUAUUUUCUCAAAUAAAAUAUAAAAUAAUUUAAUAAUUUUGAGAUGAUUAACUAAAAAUUAAAAAUAAAAUCAAACACCCUUUUUUUUCUCACUUUUCACUACUGUAUUUUCACCUGUCAAUUUUUUUUAUCUCGUGUCUAUACUUUUUUUUUAAAGAAAAAUAGUCUUAUGUUUGUUUUAACUACUUUUUUUUGGAAAUAUAUUUUAAGAAAUUACAAGUUUUUACUUUUUAGAAAUUUAAACAGAUUAAUUUAACUCCGUUGAUAUUCUAUACAGUAUUUGUCUCCCCAAUUUGAAAUAUUAGUCGUGUUUUUUUAUCAGAUACUAUUAUUGAAGGAAUACAAGAAGAUGCACUCACAUAAUUUAUUUCAUUAAUAUCAAAUUAUUUUAAGCAAUGAAAAUGUUAAGAUAAAAUAAGAGGAAAAAAAGAUUAUAUAUUAUUUUUGUGAGUUUAAUAGUCAUAUAUUAACCUUCUAAAACAUUUUUGCAGUCAGUGUAUUAUUCUUUUAUCUUAUUUUAUUUUAUGUUGUCAUCAUCUCAUUACAAAUUAUUAUUAUAUAUAUAAUAAAUUUAUUAAGUUUUAUAAUAAUUAUCUUUAAAAUUAUAACAAGAAUUGUAAUAGAAUAAAAAUGUAAUUUCAUACCAUCAUUACCAUUAAAGUCAUAAAAUAAAGUUAACCAUAACUAAUAAUUCUCUUUUAUGUUUUCACUCAAUAAAAUAAAAUAUAUGAUUUAAAAUGAAAAUUUUAAUUCUAUAACUAAUAUAUUUUUUCCUCUUUUGUUUAACACAAUUAUUUAAUUAUAAAUUACAGUUUAAAUUAUUUUAAAAUAGUUAUUUUAAAAAUUAAUAAUUUUAUUAUAUAUAAUAAAUUAUGAUUAGAUAAGUGUGUGUAAAAAAAUUUAUAUUAUUAAUACAUAAUUUUUCUCUCUCUAGUAUUUUAAAUUUGACAAAGUAUUUAUGUUAAAAGAAAAUAUGAUAAAAAAAUUAAUAUUUAGAGAAAGAAAUUUAUUCAAAUAUGAUUUGAAUAAAAAUAUUUUUAAUAGAAGAUAUAUGCUGUAAAAAAAAAAAAAUUGUUGGGCAUGACGAGGAACAUGUCAUGAUCCAUCGAAAGCAUUUUCUGACAUCAAAGUCCACUUUGUUUAGUGGUAAAAGCAAAUAACGAAAAUAGGACACUACUUUCUAAUUUCUAUCUUCGUCUUUAUAUCGCCUUGAAGCAAAAUUUCCAUUCAUACUGGAACAUGUGUUUGGAUCAUUGGAUUAUGUCAGACAACAUAAAGGGAAAAUUUUAACUUUUUAUGACCAGUAAGUGAGUUUCUGGGAACAUGCUUGCUUUUAGCUUUAAGUAUAUUAAUUGUUAAUUUUUAUUUAUCGUGUCACACGGUUUAGCAAUUAAAAUAUUUUAAUAAUUUCUGCUACAGACAUUUAAAAAUUAAAAUUAAAGAAAAAUAUUUUUUUAAUUAUCUGUAAAGAUGAAAAUAUUUUAUCAAAUUAAAUAAUUUAUAAAUAAUAAUAUAAAUUUGAAAAAUUUUGUUCCCUAAAAGGAUACAUUUAAUUUCUCAUUUUCAAUAAAAAAAAAUGAUUUAUGAUACAUUUCUUGAAAAAGGUUAAGGACAUAAAAUAUAAGACAUGUCAAUGAGAAGCAAACAUAUAAAAUAAUUAUUAUUAAAAUAUAUUUGAUUUGAUAAAAUAUUUUAUUUUGUAACCCGUUUUUUAAAAUGAUUAUAAAAUUCUACUUUAUUUUUAUUUUUCAUGUAGAAAAUAUUAAAAACUGAAAUAAAAUGAAAAUAAUAUGAUAUAAUUUUAAUUAUUUUAAAAGUAAAUAACAUAAAACUAGUUAUAAGGUUUAUUAUGUGUGUAGAUAAAAGAAACUUUUAUUAUUUUAUAUAAUAUAUUUUUUCACUCAAGAACAAUAUAUUUAUGAUUUUAUUUCAACAUCUCAACACAUAUAUGAUCAGAUGGCUUAUUUCUUUUGAAUCAAGUGAAACUAUUUUUUAUUUUUAUAGAACACAGUUAUUUUUUAUGCAGAGAUAAUUUUGCUCAAAAUUAAUAGGAUACGAUUAUUGGGAGCAAAAAAGUUAUCCCUUUGAGAAUUUAGCUUAGCGUCGUUAUAUAUUUUAGAUUCAAAUUUAAGAUAUCUAAUUAAACUAAAAUAGAUCUCUAAAGUAAUUAAAUAGAAAUAUAUUAUAUUUAAAUUUUAGUGCAUUAAAAUUAUUGAUGCAUAUAUUAAAAUUUAUAAUAAACACAUUUAUUUACUUUAAAGCCAAGUUCAUUAUAAGCGAGUCUUAUAUAUAUAUAUAUAUAUAUAUAUAUAUAUAAUGCAAAUCAAACAAUAUUCACUUUUUUGUAAUAAAUAUUGCUAUUUUUUCUUUAUUUAAAAUUUGAAUAAAAAUAACAAAAAAAGAGAAAAAUGAAUUGAACUGACUUGCCUUGACAUGACCUUAUCAUCAUUAUUACUAAUUUACUAUCUUUUACUAACUUUUGAGCGUGCAAUUUCCAAAACCACAAAAAUAGUGAGACCUACCAAACCUAUGAUCAAGAAAGAAAAAGAAAAAAGAUGCAUUCACACACAAUGUGAAAUGGAGGAAUAUGAGAGAGAAAAAAAAAAAAGAUUUGUUGCAACUAUAAAAAUAGAUGGAGCUUUCGGUGUAGCUGGCUAAAUAAGACAUCUAAAGAUCUCCAUUACCAGCCAUACUAUAUAGUAUAUAUCUUCCUUCAUUUAAGAUUUACUGGCUCAGCUUCUAAGGUGCUCAACUCUUUUAUUCCAACUUUCUUUCUUUCUCCUUUGCUUCUUUUUUCCCCCCUCCCUGCACUCUCUUUCUUUGUUUAAUGUUACGUGCACAAGUAAUUCUUACACGAACAUAAUGUUUAUAAAUAUAAUCAAUUGAAAGCUUAAGAUAUAUUUAAAUCAUUAUAAAAUUUAUGCUCAAAGUCACGUUAAGUUAGUUACUUAACUGUUAUAUUAGAUUGCUAAUUUCAUAUGUUAGUUUGCACAAACAUUGCUUUAUACUUAGAUGUGAAUGGGCUUGAAUACUUUUUGAGCUAGCCUGACAAGAAGUGUGGCUAGGCUAGAAAAUGUUAGAGUGUUGCUAGGUGCACCCAGCAUUAUUGCUGGUGCACCCAGCAUUCUUUUAAAAUAACAAAACUGUCCUUACUAAUUUCUCCCCUUAUAGAUCAAGUUGAUCCGUAAAUUGAUUUUUAAGACUUACGGAUCAACUUGAUCUGUAAGUCUUAAAAAUCAACUUACGGAUCAACUUGAUCCGUAAAAGACUUACGGAUCAAGUUGAUCCGUAAAAUACUUAUGGAUCAAGUUGAUCCGUAAGUUUUAAAAAUUAACUUACGGAUCAACUUGAUCGGUAAGAAAUAUUUUUGUCUUUUUGUGAUUAAUGCUGGGUGCACCACCAAUAAUGCUAGGUGCACCUAGCAGCACUCAAAAUAUUUAAGCCCGAAAAACUUUAUUGGCUCGAGUUGUGAACAACCCAAUAAUCAAUCUCUUACACACUGUAUCAGGCUGCUAUUCCUACCCCCGUUUUUUCUCAGCCCAUAUUGUGUUUGCUGCUUGUCCCAAUAAUCAAUCUCUUACACACUGUAUCAGGCUGCUAUUCCUACCCCCGUUUUUUCUCAGCCCAUAUUGUGUUUGCUGCUUGUCCCAUAAAUAUUCCUGUCAGAACUGUGUUUCGGUUACAUAAUAUACACAGUGCAAACAACUUUAAAAAUAAGACACCGACUAUUUUCAAUUAUCAUUUUAUUUUUUAGAUUUUAUUAUUUAAGCUAGUUUUUUUUAACUGACAUAGCGAGUGAAGUAGAGGAUGGAGGGAAGAGUAAAUUAAAAAAAAGAAAAAGAAAAGAAAAACAAGAAGAAAGACAAUGAGUUUUUGGAUGGAAAUUUUUAUACUCAAUGUAUUUUAUCAUUUUUAUGUCAUUUUAUAUUUUUUAACUACUUCAAUAAUUAAAUUUAUCAAAUACUUAUAAUUUAAUAUGUUAUUUUUAGUUUUCAAGUAUCUGUUAGCUUUUGAGUUAGUUUUAUCGAAUAUAAUCUUAUAAUAAGGGAUAAAAAAAUUAUUAACUAUAUUUUACAAACAAAGACAAAUAAGUUGUUUUUAAUUGAGAUUAAUAUAAUUAAAUAUAAUUAAUUAAUUCGUAAAUCAAAUUUUUUUAAUAUUUAAGACUUGAGAAAGUACUAAUAAGUAGCCAAGUCGGCAAAAACUCCAUACUAUGUACAACGAUGAAACAACCUAAACGAAAGAGAGAGAGAGAGAAAAUGCAUAAAAACUUCUCAUAAAUAAGAAUUGAGGUUCAACAGAUUAUAUAUAUAUAUAUAUAUAUGCAAUACAUAAAAUAUAUAGUAAUAUAAAUUAGGAUGAAUCUCACAUUUUGAUAAUGAUAGAGGAUUAUCGUAAAAAAAAAAACAGAGGAUUGAGGGAAAAGUAAAUUAAAAAAACAAAAGAAAAGGGGAAAAAGGUUAAAAAAAGGUGUGAGAGUUUUUGGAGGAUAUUUUUUUAUUUAUGAGAGUGAAAUAAUAAUAAUAAUUCUAUUCGUAUCUAUAAUUAAAAAAACUAAUUUCAUGUUUAAUAAAAAAAUUAGUCAACUUUAUUAAAUUAUAUCAAUUUGAAUUAAAAAACAAUCUUUUUCUCUAAUAAAUUAUUUUUUUUAGUGAAACUUCAUAUCAAACAUAAAUCUCCUAUUAAAUGACAAAUGCUUUAAAGAUAAUUUCAUUAAUGAGAUAAAAAUAAUUGAAAUUUAUUUAUAUUUAAAAAUAAAAAAAUAAUAUUUUUUAUGUAGCGGAUCCAGAUUCUAUUUAAUUAAAAAUAAUUAAAGAGUCUCCAAUUAACAAUUUUUCAACCAUUAGAUUAAAUUGAGGGUUUAGAUUUGAUCACGUUUCCAAUUAAUAAAUAUUGUUGUUUUAAAAAAUAUAUUAAUUUUUUCUAAUAUUCAAUCUCUUUCAUGCACGAGACCAAAAUCUCUUCCUCGUUCACGUGAUUGCUUCUACCAGCAUGGCCGAUGACGGACAAAGCAUGGCCGAUGACGGACGAUGGGUGUAAAACGUCGACGGAUGACUUCUCUCCUCUCUCACUUUUUUCCGAUGUGGUUUAAAUCCGGUGAGGUCACCACGGUCUCUCACACACAUUUUCUGGCAAGGUAGCUAUUCUCUCUCCCUUUUUUGGUGCUUUUCGGCAAGAUCACAUUCUUUAUGGGUUUUCGUUCAGGUAAGGUGUCCUUUUCGACACGAUUUUUGUUUUCGCCCUUUUUUUGAGUUUCUAUUGUGUGUUUUUGCCUUUUUGGCUUUUCACAUUUCAUGGUUAAAAGUGAUAACUAACGAUUCAUAAGUUUGUUGUUUCUUAACUUUGUUAUUAGUUGUCUCAAUUUUCUUCAUUUUUUUAAAACUAAUAUCUCUUUGUGUUCUUUCUACUAAAGUUUAAAUCCUGCAUUUAAAGGGAGAGAAAAGAACUACCUCGUCGAAAAACAUAUGAAGUGAUAGUGAUGACCUAGUUGGAUUUAAACCAUGUUGAAAAAAAGCGAGAGAGGAGAGGAGUCAUCCAUUGAUGUUCGACACCCAUCGUUUGUCGAUGUUUGACACCAGUCGUCUGUCAUCGACCGUGUUGAUAGAAGUAGUUGUAGGAAUGAGAAAGGAAUUUUGGUCUCGUGCGCGAAAGAGAUUGAAUAUUAGAAAUAUUUAAUAUAUUUUUUAAAACAACAAUAUUUAUUAAUUAAAAACAUGACCAAAUCUAAGCCUUCAAUUUAAUCUAAUGGUUGAAAAUUUGUUGAUCGGAGACACUUCAAUUAUUUCCAAUUAUUUACAUUACUCAUGUAUAGUGGUGAACCAACAAAAGAAAUAGGUAAUAAUAAAAGUAACAAAUAAAUGAACAUAUAGUAAAUGAAUGUUCGAAUUAAAAUACUCAUUAAUGAUAUCAUUAAAUUUUUUAUAUUUUUUUCAAUACGUAAUAAUAAAUGCACAUUUAAAACCCAUUUUGUAUUAAAUGUUCUAUUAUUUAAUAUGAUUCAUUAAAUAGGUAGUAAAAAAUAAAAUAUUAGCCAUAAAUAGUAACCGAGCUAUGACAUUUAAAGACCUACAUUAUUACCAGCCAUACGAUCCUCUUCCAUUUGAGAUUUACUGGCUCAGCUUGUAAGAGAACCUCACUCCACUACAACCAGCAGGUGCUCAAUUUCUUUCUUUCUCCUUUGGUUUGAAUGGGUGUCUUAUCCUCACUUUGAUUUUUUUCCCCUUACUGCACUCUCUUUCUCUGUUUAAUGUUACACGCAGGAGUAAUUCUUACACGAACAUAAUGUUUAUAAAUAUAAUAAGAAUUUUGCUAAUGAGUGUCCUUAGAGUAUUGAAUAAAAAAAUUUUAAAAAAUAUUUAUUAUGUAAAACAUAAAAAAAAUCACAUGCAUUAUAAUUUUAUACAUUCGAAUAUUUUUUUUUAUUUUUAAUUCUUGAAUCAUAUAAUAAUCAAUUGAAAGCUUAAUAUAUAUUAAAAUCAUUAUAAAGUUUAUGCUGAAAGUCACGUUAAAGACUACAUUAGAUAGCUAAUUACUUUGAUGUGUUAGUUUGCACAAACAUUGCUUUAUACUUAGAUGUGAAUGGGGUUGAAUCUAGUGUAUUAGAUACAGUUUUCAGCACAUAUUGUGCGUGGUAAAAUCUUGUUGUAAAUUUCAAUUACUGUGUGACAAGUUGUGAUUAGAAAAUAAGAAAGUUCCAAAACAAGACAGGCCAGGCACCGCUGCAUUGCUGGAGACUGAAAGACAAAGACACUCAUCCAUCCUGAUAGGAAGCCCGGAAUUAUUUUUUGUACCCACGCUAUCUUUUUUACGUUACUUUCAAUUAUUUUAUUAAAAUUUUCAAUCUUAAUUUAAAAAAGUAUUUUAAUUUAAUUUUUUAAUAUAUUAAAUAUUUUUCCAUAAAUUUAAUUUUAGAAAGUGAUUUGUAAAACAUUUGAACUAGUGUUUAUAGAUGUGAUUUAUAAACCAAUUUUAGAAUUAAAUUUUCAAAAAUAUAUCAAAUGUAUUUUGAAAUUAAAUUAUCAAUAAAUGAUAAAAAGAAUGCUCGAGCAAAAAUAAUUACAUAAUACGAAGCGCUGGAAAAAAAAGUCAAAGUUAGUUAUUGUGGUGGCCACUGGCCAAUGCGGUCAUGAUGCCCAUAUGAUAAUUCCAUGUAGCACGGAAAUGAAGUGAAAUAAUUUAUUUAAAUCGUACAAUCAACGGGAGAAAUAAUUACAUUAAGAGUUAAUACAUUUAUUAUAUAUGACGGUUUUUCAUUAAAUGAAAGCAUAAAAAAUUGUACAUAACAUAAACAAUUAAAAAUUUAAACUAUUGAACACUUUAUUUGUGUAUAUUGUAAUCGUAAUUUUUUAUAUGAAAAUGUCUAUAUAUCUAAUUGUAAUCAUUCCCUCACAUGAUACCCGAGAUUUAAAGAAAAAGAAAAAUGCAUACGCAAGAAAAUAAUAUAAAUUAUAUCAUUAAAAAUAAUUUUAUUAGUUUAAUUUGCAUGUAUUUUGAGUAUAUAGUUUUUUUUACUAUCAAUUAAUUAAAAAUCACCAUAUAUAACUUUCAAAUUAAUUAUUAUAAAAAUUAAUAAUUUUACUGAACAUGUUUAAUUUAUUAUUGGACAAUAGUGUAAUUUUUUAAACUGUUAGGGUAUUUAAGUUAAAUUUUAAUUUUAUUGUUACAUAAAAGAAUCAUCCUCCGAUUUAACUUUUAAUUGUUAAAUGAUUUUAGAAAUUUGUGCAGGUAAUACCAACCAAGCAGCAUUAGAGGAUAGAAUACAUCAUCAUGUGCUUUUCACAUUACAGGUACUAUAUGUCCAGCAAAUUCUUGGAUCUCAUAUCAUAUCUAGAUGAGUCACAACUUUGAAAACAAGUCAGUGGCUAUUUUCAAUAUAUUUUUUUAUUCAUCCAGCCGCCACUGAUCUUUGAAAGUCCACAUGCAUUAUCAUAUUAAUUAGCUAUUCAACAAAUUCAUGCUGGAAAUGGAAUUUACGUGAAUUUGCUGAAGAAAAUUUGGUGUGACUAAAGAGGAUUUAAAUUCAAAUUUGAUCUUUUGUUGAACAAAAUAAAAAUUAUCAAUUUAAAAAAAAUAAAUAACAUCACAUUUUCCUUGGCACAUAACUUGACGUUAUUAAUAAUUGAAAGUUAUAAUAUUAUAUUAUAUGGUUAUUUCCUUCCUCUUUCCUCGUCUUCAUGGAAAGUGCAUGGCUCCACCGUCAGUAAAAAAAUGCCAAGUGAUAUGCAUCUUCGGCGUCUUCAUCCAGAAAAGCACUUAUUAUAGCUACGCAUCGUAAUUUCAUAAAUAUAUUAUAUUCUUUGGCGGACCCAAGCUAAACGAACGCUGAUUAGAUUGAAGUUAACUUUUAAUAUUUUUUAAUAAAAUCACAACACAAAAGUGCUCUUGGGAGAGACACAUUUGGGUUAUCACCACUUACGCUUGAAAAACUUUAGCUUAGACAAAAGUAAAAUUGAUCCCAUUUUAAGUUUUAGUUUUUAUAUGUAAAUAUAAAAUUACUAUAAAUACUUUCUGAAAUAUUAAUUCACUAAUAAAAUUUGUGUCAAUAGACCAUUAACAAGUAGUUAGAUGAUAUUAAAUUUAUUUAUUUUUGAAUAAAAUUUUAAAUUUGAGUCAUAUGAAUGAAUAAAAUAUUAAAAAUGAACAGUUAGAUUUUUUAACAAAAAUUAAUGAUUAAUAAAAUUGAUAAGUGUUUGAUAACAAUAAUAUUAUAAAAAAAACUUAAAAUAGAGAAAAUCACAAGAGCAAUAGUUUAACGUAAAAGAUAUAACAACCGUUUGCAGUAAUCACUUUUCCAAUUACUACCUUCAAUUCAAAGACAACAUGUUAUUAUAAUAUGAACUAAAAAACAUGCUUUCAUGGGAAAAAACCAAUCUGCACAAGUACUUUCUGUGCUGGUCAAUGAUGAAUGAGGAGAUUAAAAAACAAUAACUAAAUGAAAGAGAGAGAGAGAGAGAGAGAGAGAGAGAGAGAGAGAGAGGCACCCCAAAUUAAACAAGCACAACAACUCUUCUUUGGUCUUGUAGAUGUAACAAAACAGCUCUCUCUUUAUGCAAUUGAAUGCACCUUUGACAAUCAUACGACCAGAUUGGAUUGUUUCCCCGUCAAGGGGGCCACACAAGAGGUGGCUACUAUAGGAUCUUCUUCACACAAGAGCUUUCCUUGUUUAAAAGGAGAAACAAAAACACACACUUUAGUUUUUUCUUUCUGAGUGAAGACUUUUCUUUCUCCCUUCCAUGCAUCCCCCCACAAUCUGUAACAAUCAUUGGCAACUUCUGAGAUCAUAUCAGUGAUUGUGAGGAGCUUGAGGCUUAACAGCUCCAGCAAUAAUAGCUACUGCUUCAAGCAAAGCUAAGUUCAAUUCUUCCAAUGGAGUUAACUCCAAGAGGAAGAACUCAAGGUCAUGUGUUGACCUUUGAGAGAGAUGCAGAUUCCUUUGUGGAGGAAGAUAAGGAGCUUCAGUCCAAGUGGGCUGCUAUAGAGAAACUACCAACUUUCAAAAGGAUUAAGACUUCUUUUGUUGAUGUCAGUCAGGAGGAGGGUGCAAGCAGCAGCAGCACCGUCAUCACGUUGAGAAGCGGAAGCAAAAGGGUGGCUGAUGUUUCCAAGCUUGGAGCUGUGGAAAAGCGUUUGUUCAUUGACAAGCUCAUCAAGCACAUUGAGAAUGAUAACCUCCAACUGCUGCAGAAACUAAGAGAAAGGAUGGACAGGUAUUUAUUUAAACUUGCCUUGAUCAACCUGCAAAAGAUGUUCUUUCUGUUGUUGCAAACAAAAUAGGGGUAACAUUUUGUUAGAGUAAUUGGUAGAGUGGGGUAUUGAGUAUUGACAUAUUUGUCUUCUUGGUAUGGAUUCAAUUCUAAAUUAGGAUAGCUUUUGACCUGCUUUCAAGUUUCUAUUUGAUGUUAGAGACUUCCUUUUUGUGUUUCCCCCAUUGAUUGGUUUUCUUUUUAUUCAGUUUCCCACUUUGAUUGUGUAGAGACAUAGAUGGGGUACCAGUUGAUGUAGGCACUUUAUUUCAAGAAUUGACAAAUUGGUUGUUUUCAGAGUCAAUGUGAAGUUACCUACUGUGGAGGUCAAGUACAAGAACCUGAAUGUAAGAGCAGAAUGUGAGGUUGUUCAAGGGAAGGCACUGCCAACUCUUUGGAACUCUUUUUCUAGCUCACUUUCUGUAAGUACGCUUCCUCCUUGAACCUAAGCUGGCCACUCUCCUAUGACACCUAAUACUAUAUAAAGCAAUGUUAAGAGACACAAGCUUAAAAAAAAAAAAAAGGAAAGAAAUGUUUGCAUCCGUUCAUGCUAAAAUGGGCGAAACUUAUCAAUUGAACAGGGUUUCAUGAAGACUAUAUCGUGUACUUCUCAAGGAGCAGAGAUAAGCAUUCUGAAUAAUGUCAGUGGCAUCAUAAAGCCCUCAAGGUAGGUGAAUAUGUUAUGUGUGUAUGUUAUUUUAGAACACGAGAUAACUUAGAAAUGCUAACAACACACUUUUUAUUAUUGGUUGAAAUUUAUUGUAACUCAUUUAGAGUAAGACUGGGAGUGAGACCCACAUGAUUUAAUGUGUUACAAAUGAAUUUUAAACAAUAGUAAAGAGUGUUAUUAGUAUUUCUCAUUUUCAGCUAGUUACUGACAAAAUAAGUAUUCAUGUGCACAUGAAUGUGUCUCAAGCACAUGUUUUCAGUCUUUAAAAAUUCAGUCCCUUAAAAUUCACUUGUGAAAACUCUAUUAAGCAUGGAUAUUGUAUUGUCAUAAAAAAAUAUUAUGAUAAAAUUUACAAUAAAAGGGGCCAAAUUGCUAAGUAAUAAAAAAUGUUUCUGAGUGCAGGCUUACUCUUCUUCUCGGUCCACCAGGGUGUGGGAAAACCACUUUGUUAAAGGCACUUGCUGGAAAACUAGAGCAAUCUCUCAAGGUCUGCAUUUUAAACACAAUAUAUAGUGAAAUCAUUGGCAAUAUUCAUUUAGUUUGAUCAUAAUCAUAUAGAAACUUGUUUGAGCAUAACAUAAACUAAUCAGGAUUAUGCCUAGCACUACAAUUAAUGCUUCUUCUUAUAUGAAGGAAUUCUAAAAGUCCUUCAGAAGCUAAUGUAAUUGAGCAAGCUGAAUUUCCCUAUACUGCAAUCCCUGUGACAUUCUACUAUUUCUACUUAUCUUCAGGUUUCUGGAGAAAUCUCUUACAAUGGUUACAAGCUAGGUGAAUUUGUUCCCCAAAAAACAUCUGCUUACAUAAGCCAGUAUGACCUGCACGUUCCAGAGAUGACAGUGAGAGAAACGAUUGACUUUUCGGCACGCUGCCAGGGUGUUGGAGGCAGAGCUGGUAAUGUUUCUUAGUUCUUACUCAAUCCUUGAUUAUCCACGAAAUUGUAACUAAUACAGUACCGGCAGUCAUUCAUAUAUAUCCUUUGUAUUGCAGAUCUAGUGGCUGAAAUCAGCAGGAGAGAAAUAGAAGAAGGGAUCAUUCCUGACCCAGAUAUUGAUACCUAUAUGAAGGUAAUUUUAGUUUGUAAAACUCAUAUGUCAUAAUUACCAAACAACCAGUUUACAAAUAAAAUAACCAUAUUUUUGCAGGCAAUUUCAGUUGAAGGACAAAGUGAAAAUCUUCAAACUGAAUAUGUUUUAAAGGUAAAUCUGCUUCAAGCAGGGCUGAGUUAGAGUACAUAGUUAUUGAGUGGUUCAUUUAGUAUGUUUCUAUCCUUUUUGACACGUGAAUACAAACUUUUGAUAUCCUAGAUUCUUGGACUGGAUAUCUGUGCUGACAUACUGGUAGGUGAUGCUCUAGAUAGAGGCAUUUCAGGUGGACAGAAGAAAAGGCUAACUACAGGUAUGAGGAAUGAUAAAUAAUGUUUUAUAUGCCACUUUGUUGUAAUUGAAAAAUUCAGAACUCAAUAUUCUCCUUGUAACUAUAAGAACUCCUGGCUGAAAACAUAUGAAAUGCCUCACCUCUUUACUAGACCAAUGAUCACUGAUAAACUGAAGGCUAGUGAAACUUCUGCUUAGGCUGCAAAUAAACUAUUUAUUCUUCAUCUUCAUAAUAUUUUCCCCUCAAUGUAUCCAUUUAAUUUUUUUCUUUCAAAAUCCUAUGACAGGAGAAAUGAUUGUGGGUCCUAUAAAAGCUCUUUUUAUGGAUGAAAUAUCAACUGGCUUGGACAGCUCCACAACCUUUCAAAUAGUUACAUGUCUCCAGCAAUUGGUGCACAUCACUGAUGCAACUGCAGUGCUUUCACUCCUUCAACCAGCACCAGAAACCUAUGAGUUAUUUGAUGAUCUUAUAUUAAUGGCAGAGGGGAAGAUAGUAUACCAUGGCCCCCGCAGUCAAGCACUCCAAUUUUUUAAGGAUUGUGGUUUCUGGUGCCCGGAAAGAAAAGGAGUGGCAGACUUUCUUCAAGAGGUGAGAUAACAAAUGAUCCCCUCUUCUCUCCUUUUUUUUUGUGUGUGUCAUAGGGAGCCAGGCAUUGCUAACUGGACCUUAACUUUUGUUGAGUACUUAGCUACCAUUGAGCCGAAGCUCAAGAGAAAUUUCCUUCUUGUUUAAUCCACUUUGUCCUCAUAGCAUAGCCUCACAAAUGAAAAUUUUCAACUAUGUACAGGUAAUCUCUAAGAAGGAUCAAAGGCAAUACUGGUACCGCAAUGAUAUUCCUUACAAAUAUGUUUCAGUGGAUGAAUUCUCUCAAAUAUUCAAAUCAAGUUAUUGGGGGAGAAUGUUAAAUGAUGAGCUCUCACGGCCAGAUGAUAAAUCUGAAUCCCAUAAAAAUGCUUUAUCAUUUAGCAAGUACUCCUUGGGAAAAUUGGAUUUGUUUAAAGCUUGUAUGAAGAGAGAGAUUCUUCUCAUGAAACGGAACUCAUUUAUCUAUGUCUUUAAAACUGCACAGGUUAGUAUCAAGUUCAACCCAGCUAAGUGACACCCGAAUACUUCAACCAGUUACUUUGAUCUUACUUGUUUCCUUUUCUCAUUUUGCAGCUUACAAUCACAGCUAUCAUAACAAUGACAGUCUUCAUACGUACUCAGCGGACUGUGGACUUGAUAGGUGCAAACUAUUUAUUGGGUUCAUUGUACUAUACUCUUGUCCGCCUCAUGACUAAUGGAGUUGCAGAGUUGAUCAUGACUAUUACUAGACUCCCUGUUGUUGAUAAGCAGAAGGAAUUCUAUCUCUAUCCAGCUUGGGCUUACUGCCUUCCAUCUGCCAUUCUAAAGAUUCCAUUUUCAGUUCUUGAUUCUAUAGUUUGGACAUCCGUAACAUAUUAUGUUAUAGGCUACAGCCCUGAAAUAACAAGGCAAGUACAUUGUUUAAUUUCAUGCACACACAAAAUAGCCUUCUUUUCUUUUAUUUUGCAAAGUUUUUCUUAUCUCUCUCUCUUUUAUUGGAUUAGGUUCCUCCGCCAGUUUCUUUUGCUUGUCACUUUGCAUAUGUCAUCAACCUCCAUGUGUCGUUGCCUUGCUUCGGUUUUCAAAACUGAUGUUGCAGCUACAACUGUUGGUUCCUUGGUCUUAGUACUGAUGUUCUUGUUUGGAGGCUUUAUUCUUCCUCGGCGUAAGCAAUUUUAUAGUCCCUAGUUAUAAAUGUUGUACUAAUUACAAAGUUACUCAUGUCUCAUGGAGUUAUAUUUACUGCAGCAUCACUACCACGGUGGUUGAGGUGGGGAUUUUGGCUUUCUCCCAUGUCAUAUGGGGAAAUAGGAAUAACACUAAAUGAAUUUCUUGCUCCUCGCUGGCAAAAGGUAUCUUCUAAGACAAUUAUUUAUUCAGCUUCAUGAUAGGUCAGUCUUAUGUAUAUAUCUAUAUUACUUUCCUUUUUAUUUGCAGAUCAAAGUGGGAAAUGUCACUGAAGGGAGGGAGGUUCUUAGGAGUCAUGGUUUAGACUUUGACAGCCACUUCUAUUGGAUAUCAGUUGGCGCCCUACUUGGUUUCACCAUACUAUUUGAUUUUGGAUUUGUCUUGGCAUUAUCAUACAUAAAACGUAAGCCCUGUCUAAGUUAAUACAAGGAAACAAAUCAAACAGUUAUAUUAUUUUGUUCAAUCCACUGAAUUUAUGGGAAAUGUAUUCAGAGCCUAAGAUGUCUCGAGCUUUAGUCUCAAAAGAGAGGCUCUCUCAACUAAGGGAACGAGAAACAAGCAAUAGUGUGGAACUGAAGUCAGUUACUGUUGAUGUUGGCCACACACCAAGGGAAAAUCAAAGCACAGGUGAAUAAAGCUUCUAUGAUAAAUUAUCUCAAAGAAGAGUUCUUUCUUUCAAGCAAAAAUAAUAAGGAUUUUUGGUAUCUUUUACAUGGUUGGUCAUGCAGGGAAAAUGGUCUUGCCCUUUGAGCCACUGUCAAUAGCAUUUAAGGAUGUUCAGUAUUUUGUUGACAUUCCUCCGGUAAUAAGCACACCUAUCUUGUUUUUCAUGAUUUGAUGUCAUUUGAAAAUGUUGUCAAUUUAGAUUUUUAACUGUCAUUCUGAACAGGAGAUGAAAAAACAUGGUUCCGAUGAGAAAAGGCUACAAUUGCUUUGUGAUAUCACAGGAGCCUUUAGGCCAGGAAUUCUCACUGCACUGAUGGGGGUCAGUGGAGCAGGAAAGACAACUCUGAUGGAUGUUCUUUCAGGAAGAAAAACUGGAGGUAUCAUUGAAGGAGAUAUAAGAAUCGGAGGCUACCCCAAAGUGCAAAAGACAUUUGAAAGAGUUUCAGGUUACUGUGAGCAGAAUGACAUACAUUCUCCAUAUAUAACCGUUGAAGAAUCUGUCACAUACUCAGCUUGGUUGCGGUUGCCAACAGAAAUUGAUUCUGUCACGAAAGGGGUAUGACGUCCUUAUCACUUGCACUGUGGUUUCUCUUUCCCAGAUAACAGAUGUAUUUUGUAACUUUCUAAAUUCUGUGUAUAUCUACUGAGCAGAAAUUUGUUGAAGAAGUCCUUGAAACAAUUGAACUUGAUGGUAUAAAGGAUUGUUUAGUUGGCAUCCCUGGCCAAAGUGGCUUGUCUACCGAACAACGUAAAAGACUAACCAUUGCAGUGGAGCUGGUUUCCAAUCCAUCAAUAAUAUUCAUGGAUGAACCUACAUCUGGUUUGGAUGCUCGAGCAGCUGCAGUUGUUAUGCGUGCAGUGAAGAAUGUUGUUGCCACUGGCAGGACGACGGUUUGCACUAUACACCAACCAAGCAUCGACAUAUUUGAGACUUUUGAUGAGGUAGUCCAAAGUGCCUUCUGUUGAUAAUAUUUGUGAAAUAACAGCUUUGGAAAUUUAUAAUAAGUCUCUAUCUUACGUACAGAAUAAGAUAGUAUAUUUACUGAAGUCUAAAACCCUACAAAAUAAAUAAAUGCAUGCAUCUCUUUCUGUGAUUUAGUAAAUAUCUUGAUUUUUUUGCUUCUAGAAUUGGAAGUGGCAAGAAGCAAAAGCUGACUUCCCUUCUUUGCAAAUGUAGAAAUAAAAUGCAUGAUGUUACCUUCUUUAGCAUGUAGAAAAGGGAAAUAAUAUACAGGUCAGCAACUAAAAAGAAGUUAUUUUUCAUGCAGUUGAUUCUAAUGAAAUCUGGAGGACGGAUUAUUUAUAGUGGAAUGCUAGGCCAUCAUUCAAGUAGACUGAUUGAAUAUUUUCAGGUAUGCUCAAACCCAGCAGUAAAGUACACAGCAUUUUAUAUUCUGGACAAAUCAAUGAUCGUCUUAUUUUCAAAUGUCCUUUUCUUACAAUAGUCUUAGACAUGCAAGUGACUGCUAUCAAACUGGUCACAAGACUAAUAUUCAAAACUGCCCUUAGGGGAGUAUUUACCUUUAUCUCUCACUUCUUCACUUAUGUUGUUGAAAUUUGUAUCUAAUUUCACUGUCCAUCAGAAUAUACCUGGGGUGCCAAAGAUCAAGGACAAUUAUAAUCCUGCAACCUGGAUGUUGGAAGCUACCUCUGCAUCUGUAGAAGCAGAACUUAAAAUAGAUUUUGCACAAAUAUAUAAAGAGUCACACCUUUGCCGGUGAGAAUUCAAUCAACUGUUAUUCAUUUAACAAAUUUAUUAACUUCUGUUUUUCAGGAUUUACAUGCCAUAUCUGGUUUUAGUUGUAAUGGUAAUGAUCACACAUUUCAGAAAACACUGAUCCCAAGUUUUGAAUUGCUGUUUCUGUUUCUAGGGAUACCCUUGAAUUGGUGAGAGAGUUGAGUGAACCACCGCCAGGUACAAAAGACUUGCACUUUUCAACUCGCUUCCCACAAAAUAGUUUGGGACAGUUUAUGGCAUGCCUUUGGAAGCAACACUUGUCUUAUUGGAGAAGUCCUGAGUACAACUUAACUCGUUUCAUUUUCAUGAUUGUUUGUGCAAUCAUGUUUGGAGCAGUAUUCUGGCAGAAAGGGAAUAAAAUGUAAGUUUGUUUUGUUAUACUUAUAAUUUGCACAGAAAAUGACUCUUUCAUUUUAUCUGGAAAAAUAAAUAUGUAUGUUAAAAGAAACUCCACAACCUCUAACUCAAGACAAUGUAGAUGCAACAUUUUAUCCAAAUAUGUCCACUGUUCCACUGUCUGUCUUCAGCAAACUGAAUCAGGCAGAAAAAAGUUAACAUAUAUGAAGUUCUUAUAGUUUUGAUAAGUUCAUUCAACAGAGAGAAGUUGAAAUCCAUAAAACAGUAAUUUCAGCUUCUUCAUUGUGAUAACCAUAGAUAGAAACAAGUAAAUUACUCUACCAAGUUCCAUGAAUAGCAAUAUAGCAUGCCUUAUUAAUACAUUUUGAAAACAUAAGACAGCAUAUAUUUUAUAUCAAAAACAUAUUAGGCACAAUCAGCAUAAGGCAUUCUUAAACUGUGAAUUUCAUGAUGCAGACAACAUUAGUGUUAACACGAUUCUAGUGUAGUGUUGAAGUUGUACAGAUGAAAGUGCUGAUAUAUACCUUUUCUAUGGUUAAAGAAACAAUCAGCAGGAUUUGUUCAACGUACUUGGAUCAAUGUAUAUUGCUGUAAUAUUCUUGGGUCUAAAUUACUGUUCAACAAUUCUACCAUAUGUGGCUACUGAGCGUGCUGUCUUGUACCGAGAAAAAUUCGCUGGAAUGUACUCUUCCACAGCUUAUUCAUUUGCACAGGUUUGCAGUCACUUCAAGCAAAUUCAAGUGAUACUUCUUUGAUAGGAAAAUCAGUAAUGUUAUUAAAUCAGUGAUAUUCUUUUGUUAAUGUAGGUGGCCAUUGAAAUACCAUAUAUCUUGGUGCAAUCAAUUUUAUAUGUGGCUAUCACAUAUCCAAUGAUAGGUUUCCAUUGGUCAGUUCAGAAAGUGUUUUGGUACUUCUACACCACAUUCUGUACAUUUUUAUACUUUGUAUAUCUUGGAAUGAUGGUAAUGUCGAUGAGCUCAAAUCUCGAUAUAGCUUCUGUAUUGUCGACUGCAGUCUACACCAUAUUCAAUCUCUUUUCUGGAUUUCUCAUGCCAGGACCGGUAAGUCUUUUAUAGCACCAUAAGGGCUUGAAUUUGUACCUUAAUUAUAUUAUAUUUGCAUCCAAGAUUUUUUUUGGGGAAUUUGGAUCCAAAAUUGACAUGUUGAGAAAAGCAUAAAUUGAUGCAAAACCCAAGUUUUUAGUAAUCCAAUCCCAGUCAAAUGCUUACUUUUAAAGAUGAAUUUUAUCCUUUCCCAAAAUGUAAUCCAUUCCAUUGUUGAAAGAUCAUAGAGUCUAUCAACAUCAAAUUCAUAAUCAAAACCACUAUCAUGGAUAAUCAUUACUUGAAUUUUUCUUUAUAGCAUGAUGCACACAGAAACAACACUAAUUUGGAAAAUAAGGAUAAGAAAGAUGCUUUAAAGCCUGACAUAACAACUAAGUUUUUUUAUGCAGAAAAUUCCUAAAUGGUGGGUUUGGUGCUACUGGAUUUGUCCUACUGCUUGGUCCUUGAAUGGCCUCCUAACUUCACAAUAUGGAGACAUAGAGAAGGAGGUACUCGUAUUUGGGGAACGAAAAUCAGUUGGUUCCUUUUUAAGAGAUUACUAUGGCUUCCGGCAUGACAGAUUAAGCCUUGUGGCUGUGGUGCUCAUUGUGUACCCAAUUGUCUACGCUUCUCUGUUUGCCUAUUUCAUAAAGAAAAUGAAUUACCAAAAGAGAUAAGAUAGACACAGACAAAGACACAGUUUGGUUCUUCUGCAGUAUGCUGGCUUCAAUGUUCAUGUAUAGAAAUAUAGAAAUAUGUGGCUACAUAGAUUAGCAAGAUCUCUCUCUCUCUCUCUCUACAGAAAAAUAACAGUGGUUCUGUGACCAGACUCAUUUCAUAAGAAAAAAAAUAUAUUUUAAAUUUUUUAUCGGGACUCUCAAUUUUUGUUCAUCUCGCUGUCUCUUCCUCGCCGCCGGUGGCAACACCCACCACCACCACCACCACACCCACAACCUCCCUGUGCUGCUGCCGCUCUUCUACCUCUUUCUAGUUUUUUUUUUUUUCCACUCUUCUCUUUCUUUCAUGCAUCUGAGUAUUUUUUUUUCAAGGUCAGAUCCGCUUCACUUCUUCUCUCUUUCUAAUUUUUUUUGGAUUUUUUUUCAAAGUCUAAGAUCUGCUCCACCGCAUCUCCCUCUAAACUAUACUUAUUUUCUAAAAAAAAUUAGCUACGGGUGAGAUCACAGUAUUCUGCCACCCCUUCGAGUAACAGAUCAUAUCCAAGGGUCAAAAAAACUUUCGUAUGGUACACAAUCUACGCUUUCCCAUGCUAGGAGCUGUCUUAUAUAAAUUAUAUCAAAUCAAAGAAUGGGAGAAGUUCAUUAUAAAAACUAAAAAAAAAGAAUGGGAGAAGUUGGAACAAUUGUUUACUGGACUGGCCUUAAUACUAUCUUAGGUCCAAUUGGAUGGACUGUUGGGCUGGUCCAUUUUUGACAGGUGUGGUCAUGUUUAUUGGGCUAUUGCUUCCUGCAUUUUUUUUCUAGUUACUUUUUACAUUUUCUUUUAUUUUUUAAAUGAUGAAUCCAAAAAAGUAAAAUUACAUUCUAGAAUGUAUUUUUUUUUCUUUCCGAAAGGUAAAAAAGAAAAUUCCAAAAAAGUACAAGAAACAACUUGAGAAGUGCAGAAGGCAACAACCUGCUUGUUGUCCAGUGAAUGGAGACGUUUCUUUCUCCUCCUUUUUAUGGUUGGAGUAAACUGUGAUGCAUGCAUCUUGUUUGCACAAGAUUCUCUUGUAGACUAAAAUUUACAAGAAAUUGUUUUAUUUCAUCGAAUGAUUCACAAUGAUACCUUUGCAAGUUACAUCAUUUUACCUCUUCUGGAAAUUGAGGUUUCCAAUGCAAUAAGCAAAUAGAAUGGCAAUUACAAUGGGGAUGACAAUGAGAACAACACCAACUACACCAAGAAAAUCAUGGUGAAACCCAUAAUAAUCCUCCAAAAAUUUGGCAAUUGUUUUCUUUUCUUCAAAGGCUGAAAUUUCUUUGUUUACAUCUCCGUAUUGGGAAGUAAGCAUCCCAUUCAGUGCCCAAGACAUGGGGCAUAAAUAAUACAUCCAAAUCCACCACUUGGGAAUUCGCUGCAAUGAGAAAACCAUCAUCCUUCAGUGUUAGGUUCAAGCAAUAUAAGAAAGGAAUAAAAAAAAAUGCAAACGAUCAUAAUUAGUACAGGUUUUAUGGUACCAUAUCAACAAGAAAAAAAGUAGUGAUGUGAUACUUAGGCUUAGGUGCUAAACAGUUAUUGACCUAUAAUCAAUCCAAUUGUUCUUCUCCACCCUAAGAAAAUUUCAAAAAUUGAAUAUUUGAUAUUAAUUUUUGUCUAUCAGACUCAAAACUCUGGCCCUUACCGCCAUUGUCUUAUGACAAUUACCAUAGCGACCAACACUGACUGUAUGUAUAUUUGAUGAUGAGUUAUAUUAACUAUAUAGUAUCACUUAUAUAAUGUUAAAUUUGAAGGCAUUUAUACAAAUUAAAUUUUCUUAACAAUUAGUCUAAGUCAUUUGCUAGCUAAACCAAAAAAAUGUGUAUUUUGCAUGAAUGCAAAUAUAACAGAAUACAAAUGGCAUUUUAUGAAACUUACUAGUCGUGGUACAAAGUACCCAGAAAAUAAGUUAAGCAUCGUGUAGGAAGAUGAAGCCACGAUAGCAGCCAAUUGAACAUUUGGCGUCAAUGAGACAAUGAGCAUCCCUAGGUAGUUAUAAUAUAAGAUAUUGCAGAACAUGCUGAAGAAUGACCAAAAUAUUUUAUAAGCAGACCAAUCAUAGCUCAACAUAGGAUAUGUGAUUAUCACAUAUACAACAGCUUGAAUGAAUAUAUAGGGAACCUCAAUUAGCACCUACAAAAGAAAUAAAUCCAAGUUACCCUAAAAUUAUUGGAAGAGUCACCUGAAAGCAUAAGCAAUAGAAUCCUUGAGUAAAUGCAAUCCUUAAUGUGCUCCAAUUACAGUGAAAAUAUAAUACUACCACCAUUCUAUAUAUAAGAAAUAAACAAGUUAUGUAUACUGGAGGCAGUAUUAUUUAGCUAGGAGAAAAAAUGGACAACAUUUUCUUGAUGAAUUAAAAUAUUUGGAAAUGAAUGGUGAAUUCAUAAUUUACAGAGAACUAAACCUGUGCAAAAGAAUAGGCCCAGGGAGAGUACAUUCCAGCAAAUCUUUCACGGUACAGAACAGUGCGCUCUGUUGCCACAUAUGGUAAAACUGUUGAGCAGUUAUUUAUCCCAAAGAAUAGUGCAGCAGAGUACAUUGCACCAAAUACAUUGAACACAUCUUGUUGGCUAUUUCUGUGAAAUAAGAAAAAAAAAUAGAGUUAAUUACUAUCAACAUUUUUGUAAUUUACUUUUAUUACAUUGGUGAUCUUUUCUAUUUUACAUUACUUUUAAUCUCAUCUGUUAAUUUCAUGAAAUUUUCGUUAGUAAAUCUAAUAACAGAAAAAAACAUUCAUUUAUGAAAGAAAAAAAACAAAAGCAAAAGAAAAUGAUAUUUAAAUAGUGACAUGAAGAAUUUUGUUGGCAGCCAUUCUAAUAUUUAAUUACAUGUAAUUUUUUAGGUUUACUUAAUUGAAUUUUAAAUCUUACUCAACUUGUUGAAUUUUAAUGUGAAUUAUUUUACACACAAAUACUUCUCAGCAGCCAUUUUAAGGUGUGGCGAUUAUGAAGUUAAAAGGAAUGAAUAAAUACAUUUUGGACAAAGAAAAUUCAUUAAAAAUUAUGUAUCCCUCGUGUCACAGUCUCGAACUAACAUUUCUCAUAUCUAAAAAUAUCAAAGGGUGAUCAGUGAAAAAUUAACAAUUAGGAUACUUUUUUAGGAUUAAAAAAAUAAUGAUGUCCAGUGUAAUAAAAAACAAACCACUAUGUGCUUAUUGUUAUUUACUAAAAAAUAAAUAAUCAGCCCCUUUAGCACAAGAUUUUUCAAUAAAUAAAAACAAAUCAUUUUUUUAGAGGAAAUACAAAUCAUGUUAAGAGUAACAAUCUAUUUUUCUUAAAUGAUUAGUAUAAUGCAGCUUUAGUUUUACAACGUGAAACUCAUUUGACAUGUUAGGAAAAAAUUAGUAUGAACAAAACAAUCUAUUUUUCUUAAAUGAUUAGUAUAAUGCAGCUUUAGUUUUACAACCUGAAAUUCAUUUGACAUGUUAGGAAAAAAUUAUUAUGAACAAUUGUUUGUUUUUUUUGUUAAUGGAGACAUAAGUAGAAUAAAAUUAUGAUCACUAACAUUUUCUUUCCUUGCUUCCAGAACAGUAUCCCAAACAGAAGAGAUGAGACAGCCACAAAAAUGAUGCGCAUCAAGUUGUAUGAAGGACUUCUCCAAUAGGACAAAUGUUGUUUCCACAAGCAUGCUUUAAACUGUUCCCAACCAUUUUGUGGAAAAUGAGAUGGAAAAUAUAAAUCUCUGGAGUUUGGAGGUGGUGAGCUUAAUUGCUCAACUAACUCUUUGUUCUGUCUGCACUCACAAGAGUAAAUAAAUACCAUGUAAGAUCAUAUACAUUAUAAAUACUCCACUAAAAGGCAAAUUUUAAAUUCCUAGGAUCAUCAUUUGCCAGGAUUUAUAUGAUAUUGGAUAUACAUGGUUAUGUAGAUUGAGCUAUUAGUUUUCUUAUUUAUUUAGGAUUUUAAAUUCACAUUUAGGUUUUCAAUUCAAGAUUGUUUGUUGAUCGGAAAUUUUAUUGUAUCUUGGGUUAUCUUAUUCUAGCAUAAAACAAGAAUAAGUCAUUAGGGUGAUUGGAUACGUUGGUCUAUAAAUGAACUUUCAAUGUAAACAAUUAAGAGAUUUUUUAUUGUUAUGUGAUAUUGAAUUUCCUUUAUUGAAAGAGUCGAAGGAGCAAUUAUCCUAAUUGAAUACCCUAGCCCCUAAGUUUAUCAAGGGAAUAAGUACAUAGUGAAGAAGAAUUCUCUUGGAUUGUUUUAUUCUAGCAUGAUAACUGAAUAUCGUUUGCUUGCAUUAUUUUUACCGAGUUUGGGCUUAAUAGAGAUAUUAUAUAGGACCAAAAACUGGAGGAAAUUAGUAGUCACCAAGAUUUAUGUUUCAAAUUUUUGUAUAAACUCAUAAAAUAUUAAUCCAUCAAUCUGUUCGUGCUGGUUAUAUAUACUAUAUACUACUACCUAGAUUUAUUUUGAACAACAAACUAUAAUCAAAUAAUUUUUUCAAGCAGUGGCACAUAAAUAAAAUUCUCUGUGAUUACUUACUCAUAUAAGGUUGACUCCCUAUAAAUUUGGGCGAAGUCUAUUCCGAGUUCAGCUUCUGCAGAUCUUGAAGUAACUUCUAGCAUCCAUGUUGAUGGAUUAUAGUUGUCUUUAAUCUUUGGCACUCCUGGUAUACUCUAUAUAACAAAAUUUGCAAGAAUGUAAACCAAGAUUUUGCAAUCACUCAUUUUUUCCUGAAGAGUAGUACCAAAACUAACAUUUGUGACGAAAAAAAGUUGGGUAUGAUAAACUUAUAAGAAAACUGACCUCAAAGUAUUCAAUGACCCUACUUGAGUGCUUCCCAAGUGGGCCAGCGUAGGUUAAGCGACCUCCAGCUUUCAUGAGAAUAAGCUUAAAGGAUUACAAGACAAGAACCAUAAUUAGUAUAAUUAUGAAUUAGUAUUGUACCAUCCCUUAAGAGAUUGAACAAUAAGACAAGCAUUCUAAAUGCUAAAGUAUAGACUUUUUCUUCAAGCAUAACACAUUUUCAGUGUUUAUUGCAUAAUAAAUGUAUGCUGAAGAUGAAUAUAGAAAGCCAUAGCUUCAUGGAUAUUAGAAGUGGCUCUACUAAAUCCCAUUCUUUCUUUAUUAAAUGAGCAUUUAUAGGUAAUUGAGAUACAUCAUCAAGGAACUGAAAUUUUAAAUGCCACAAAAUUAUGAUUUAUGUCUCCCAAAUUGAUGUUAGGUUCUUUAUCUAAUUAAGGAUGUAGAUAAUAUUAAAGAACUACAAAGGGUCCUUUUAAGAUGUUGCAUAGUAACAUGAUUUUGUAACUAUCAAACAUUUUCCUGGAAAAAAAUACAUUUUAUUUGACCUGUGAGAAAUUCAAUAAAUGGGCUCAAAGGGACUUUCAUAACCUCUUGGUUCAUUAUAUAUGCAAAAUCUUAAGGGAUUGUAUUUUACCUCAUCAAAUGCCUCAAAUAUAUCAAUACUUGGCUGGUGAAUGGUGCAUGCAACAGUUCUUCCAGUUCCAACAACAUUCUUCACUGCUCUCAUUACAACUGCAGCUGCCCUUGCAUCUAGACCUGUAGUCGGUUCAUCCAUAAAUAUGAUUGAAGGAUUAGCAACAAGCUCAACGGCUAUGGUCAGCCGUUUUCUUUGUUCAGUCGAUAAACCACUAAUAUUCGGCAUGCCUACUAAAGAAUCUUUGAUUCCAUCAAGCUCAAUAGUAUGAAUGACUUCAUUUACAAAUUCCUGAAAAAUGAUGGAAGCCAUAAGAAGAAAUGAAUCACAGCGAACAAUCUCAAAAAUUGAAAAUAGCAAUGCGGCAUUGGGAAGAGAAUCAUACAGCUUUAGUUUUUGCAUCAAUUUGAGAAGGAAGCCGAAGCCAAGCAGAAAACAUCACAGAUUCUUCUACUGUUAUAUUUGGAGAAUGUAUGUCAUUUUGUUCACAGUAACCUGAUACUCUAGCAAAUGUUUCCUGAACCUUCGGGUAGCCGCCGAUUCUAAUCUCUCCUUCUAUAAUACCACCAGUUUUUCUUCCACACAGGACAUCCAUCAAAGUUGUUUUCCCUGCUCCACUGACUCCCAUCAAUGCUGUUAGGAUGCCAGGUCUGAGUGAACCUGUGAUAUCAGAAAGAAGCUGAAGUCUUUUCUCAGUAAAACCUCUAUUUCUCAUUUCCUGCAUUCAAUAUCAUAUAAUUACCCAACCAUGUCCUUGGAUGUAACUUCAUACUUAAGAACUAGCAAUAUUUUAAAUCAUAUAAGUUACCAAAGGGGAAUCAACAUAGUACUGGACAUCAUGAAAUGCUACUGCUAGUGGCUGGAAUGGUAGAACCAGUCCUCCUGGGAAAAAUAGAGAGAAAGAAAAGAAGAAUAAGCAUUGUUUUAACCGAAGAACUUGUGCAUGUGUAUGUGUGUCUAUAUAUAUAUAUAUAUAUAUAUAUAUAUAUAUUCAAGAUUUACAAUUAAUAGUAAAUCAAAAUAUAAAAGAUAAUGUCAUUGGUAGAUUACAUGUUUAGCUGAACCAAAAAAUCACACUUGGAUAAGACAGCUGCUCACCUUUUCUGGUUUGUACAGUACUUCCAACCAUAGAACCAACAUGUUUCUUGUCAGCACCAACGCUACCAUAACUUUCUUGUUGUCCUUGUAAUUCUGAGUGCUUCUCAGAAGAUAUAAGAGUUCGAGAUCUUGCAGGAGCUGAUGGAAGAAUGCCAAAGUGAAGGUUAACAUAUAGGUCUAAAGGCAUUAUUAUUCAUCACUUGACAUGCCCAAGUAAACAAUGAUAGAUGAACUUACAAUUCAAGAAAGUCAACAUCAAGGUAAAACCUACAUUAAACAGCACUGUGAACCCAAUUAAGGCAGCAAUUGAUAUCCAAUAAAAGUAGCCGUCAAAGUUUAGUCCCCGACUUUCAAGUACUUGCUGGCCCAAUGUUCUGUUUCCAGACAUCUUCAAUAAGAACAAAUAAACCAAAGUGAUUAGAUGAGUCACAUUUUCUAGAAGUGAUAAAGAUGAGGAGUUUUAUUAUUGAAUUGAGUUGCCAAAACUACAUAACAUAUAACUUUAUUGACAGUUUUUUGUAUGCCUUCAUAUAUUUGAGUACUCUCAGUUAAAUCAGAAAACUUAGCAGAAGUAAAAGAGGGGAAAGGUGUUUUAAUUUGAGCCUUUAAAUUAUUCUUGACCAAAUGAAGCUAACUGGUCAACUCAUAUCAUAAACAAAAAGGGAUAAAGUAGCUAUGCCACCACUUUUAGUUGCAUGCAAUGUAUGUUCUUUGAAGCACAAAAAUUAAGAGUUAUACAUGAUUACCUUUUCCCACCUAGGAGCAAGAAAUUCAUUCACAGUUAAGCCUAUCUCUCCAUAUGUCAAAGGAGAAACCCAAAAUCCCCACUGCAACCAAGAUGGCAUAUAUGCUGCAAUGGAAAAGCAACUAAUCUUUAUCUUCUGAACACAAUUCUCUGUUAAAAGUAAAUCAGUUCUGGAUUCUUACGUUUUGGAAUGAUGAAGCCACCAAAUAGUAAAACAACUAGUAUGGUCACAGUACCAGCUGUCACAGAAGCAACCACAGUUUGGCAAACUGAGGCAAUGAAUCGAAACAUGGAUACCGAAGUCACAUGUAUGAUAAAUAAGAGAAGGAACUGGCGAAAGAACCUGAAGAAAAAAUUGGUUAAUAUGCCAGAAAUCCCAAAACAGAGUUUUUAUAGUAAAGAAACAACACAAAUCAACUAUAUCCCAUAGAUUCUCCAUGGAGUCAGUCUUCUUGUAACCAAGAAUAAACAAGAAGCCUUUAGCAUCAUUGUAAACAAAUCAUAUUAAUUGUGUUAAAUUCUAGAGACAAAGGCAAUUUUAAAUGUAGGACUUUCUUGUACCUAAUGAUUAAUGAGUAUCAAGUGUUAUGUAUGUAAAUUUACUCACAUAUCUAACAAGACACAAGUGAAAAAUCUGGGAACAAAGUUAGCAUUCCAUCGAAGACUAACCUGCCAAUCUCGGGGCUGUAACCAAUGACAUAAUAAGAAAGUGUUGUCCAAAUGAAAGAUUCCAACAAUGAAAGAGGAAUCUUUAAAACAGCAGAUGGAAUUGUAUAAGCCCAGGCAGGAAAAAAACACAACUCUUUUUGCUUGUAAAUCACUGCAAGUCUUGAUACAGUCAUAGAUAGUUCUGGAAAUCCAUCAACGAGAAGUAUGAUGAGUGAAUAAAACAAUGAACCCAUAAAAUAAUUCCCAUGGAGCACAUCAACAGUCAUUCGUGUUCGAAUGAAAACAGUCAUUGCUACAAAUGCAACAAUGACAAGCUGCAUUGAUAAAGAAUACAAGUUAGAAACUUUGAGAAGUUUUGUAUAGUUAUCAUGGCAUGAAGUCAUGAAAGUAAAAAAAAAGGAAGACAAAAUACCUGUGUUGACUUGAAUACAUAAACAAAAGAGUUUUUUUUCAUUAGAAGAAUUUCCCUCAUCAUGCAAGCGUUAAAUAAUUCCCAUUUUGUUAAUGAGUAUUUUUUAAAUACAAGGGCAUUCUUGUGGCUCUGAGACUUAUCAAAUGGCUUCGAGAGCUCCUCCUUCAGCUUUAGACCAAAAGGGCAAUCCUUAAAUUUCUCAAUGAACUGGUCAAUUGAAACAUAACUGUAAGGUUUUUCUGUGCUAUUCCAAUACUUUGCUUGAUCUUUCUUAGAGAUAACCUGGAUUUUGCAAGCAUUUCAUAUGGUCAAAAUGUAUACAAUAUCAUGUUAGAAAUGGAGAUACACAAUUGGGCUUAACAUACUUCUUGAAGAAAGUCAGCAGUGCCUUUUCUUUGUGGGCAUUUAAACCCACUGUCCUCAAAGAACUCAAGUAUAUAAUCACACGGUCCGUGGUACACAAUUUUCCCUUCAGCCAUCAAAAUAACAUCAUCAAAGAGAUCAAAGGUCUCUGGUGCUGGCUGAAGGAGUGAAAUUAAUGCCGUGGCAUCUGUGAUAUGCACCAGAUGCUGAAGACAAGAGAUAAUCUGGAAAGUAGUGGAGCUGUCUAAACCAUUGGAUAUUUCAUCCAUAAAGAGUGCUUUUGUUGGUCCAACAAUCAUCUCUCCUGUACAAUACUCCAGAAUCAGAAGCAUGAUAACUUCAUACAUCAACUAAUUCUCUAAAGGUGUAUAAGUUUGAUAAGCUAUUAUUUUGCAGUAUAUAGCAGUAAUACCUGUAGUUAACCUUUUCUUUUGACCACCAGAUAUACCUCUUCUUAUAGGAUCUCCAACCAAUGUGUCAGCACAUAUAUCAAGACCAAGUAUCUGCAUGUCAUUGUAAUAGUCAAUAAACAAUAAUUGAACAAAUAUGUAGUGGAGAAAAUGAUUUACAAGCCAGUGAUACUGUAGCUUCAUGGAGAAAAUGAGUAGACUACCUUUAAAAUAUAGUCGGUCUGAAGGCUGCUCUUGAGUCCGUUAAUUGAUGUUGCCUGUACAAAAAACAUUGCUUUUGAAGUAAUAGUCAUCAAGACUCGGGACAACAAAUUUGCACAAAGGCUUUUGAAGGACUAAAUUGAAUUACAAAGUCAUGCCCCAGUUAUCCUACUGACAGUAUAAACAAAAAUAACUAUUGUAAGUUUUUCUGAAAACAAUAGACACCUAUCAUACUGGAAUUCAGGUUUAAAAGAGUGAAAUUGGGUAAAGAAAACAAUCAUAACUUUCUCAGAACUAAAGCUAGAUAAGUUUUAAAUGUGGACUUAGGGCUUAACUCAACACUACAAAACUAAAUUAUAAGGUGAGCAUUGCCCAAUCUUUAUAAGUUAGUUUUGUAGUAUUGAGUUAAAUACCACCCUUGAGGCUGCAGUUAAGGCAGUCCCCAAGAGGUCACAAUUAAGGCUGGUUAGGACUUAGGAGUGACUGCAAUUAAAGUAGAUUUCCAACAAUAAGUUUCUCAUUUUAAUAAUUUUUUAUUAUAGAAUUUGGUGUAUUAAGGUUUAGUUAGAUGAAAAUGCUGACAUUACUAAGGAGUCCAUCAUUUCUGUCAUGUUUGCGUGACCAACAAAUGUUCUUUUGCUAUAAUAUAGCAGAAUAAUUUAUUACUUUGGCAAAUAUUUUCUAACAAUUAUUAUAUUUUAUCAAGUGAAGAAACAGGAUAAGCUGCAUUUAUUUAUUUAUAAUAAACAAAUGAAAACAGUUAAGCUUUAUUCGUUAUUAUUGGGAUAUUUUUUAUUGAAGCAUAAAAUUGAAUAAAACUUGGAGGUGGAUAAAGCAAAGAUGUGCAGGACAGUACCUUCAUAUAUGCAUCUAAAUCUGGGUCUGGGACUAUUCCUCCCUCUUUCUCCUUUCUACUGACUUCCAUCAGGAGUUCUUUCAUACAUGGAGCAAAAUUCAUCACUCAUCUCUAAAGCCAAUUUAUGAAAUUUAUUUAAUUUUUAACUUUAAGUGUACCUACUGGAUCGGCUUCCUACGCCUUGACAACGUGCUGAGAAAUCAAGUGUUUCCCUCACAGUCAUCUCUGGAAUAUGCAGAUCAUAUUGGCUUACAUAUGCUGAGGACUUCUGAGGAAUGAAUUCUUCUAGCAUGUGUCCAUUGUAAGAAAUUUCCCCUUGAACCUAUCAAAAAGCAAUAAAGGGAAAAACUCUUUCUAACUUGAAGCAGUAGUCAAUUUUUGAAAUGUAUAAUAAAUUAAAUACAAAUAUUGAGUUUAUUCUGUCUCAUGCAUAAAUAAUUUCAUUAUGAAUUCAAGGGACGGGGGUAGCCUUGUUGGGAACUUGGGAUGACUUCAUCUUUAGUUUAAUAUUGGAUAUUGGCAAGAAGUCAAAAUAAAAAUAUCUAAUAGUAAUGAGCAAUGAGCAUUGAAUAUAUAUGCCCACGGUUUUCUCAUUGGAAAUUUUGAAUGUUUAACUCAAUUUUUGAGAAGUGGAACUAAGGUUUCUCUCUUUCCCGCAGAGAAAGAAUGUCCACUCUCAAUCACUAAGUUGUUGUUUCCUUUUUAAUUCACUCAUUUUUAGAAUUAUCAGUGUUAUACUGAAUCUAGAUUGAAACAUUUGUGCCCGAAGACUCCAUCCAUGACAAAGCCCCAUAUCGUCUAGAAGAGAUGACAAUCACUCCAGGGCUUAUCAUAAAAAAGACUUUUUGCAGCUGUAACACUCAUACCUUUCUCGGCCUUUUGGCUAAGAUCAAGUGUAGUAUCUGUUCUUAUCAGUUUAAUAUCUGAUAUGUGGGCCAUUGGUCCACACGAUAUUAAAUUACUUUUUUAAAGGGGAGAGGCCAACACAGUAGCUUGCUAUUGGGUCUCUCGUGUGUCGUCCAUGCGUUGCACUAUAGCUUGGGCCUGGCACACCCUACGUUUAGUCAAAAUUUUGUAAUUUAGAUUACUAUUAGGUAGUCAUUGUAUAUGUUUGUAACUAGGCUUUGACGUGAGUGGCUUAGUUUGUUGGGUGUUCUGAAAAUGAAAUUUUAGUAGCAUAAAAACUAGUCAUAGGUAGAUGUGCAUUGAAUCCAAUUCUCUUUCUUUAGGUACCUCUCUUGAACACCUAAUAUUUAGAGUAAGUUGAUCUAUUUAUAAUGCUACAAUGUUAGAAGUUACAGUAGCAUCCUGCACGCAUUUAAGUCAGGAUUUUUAAAUUUACUAGGAAAAAACCGUGAGAUUGAGAACCUUGAGAGAAUGGCCAAGUUUUCCUGCCAACGCCAACAAUAAUGUUGUUUUACCACUUGCCGGUGGGCCAAGCAGUAAGGUCAUCCUGCAACGGAAUAAAAGCACAGCAAAAGAAUCAUUAUACAUGAAUUGUUACAUUCCAAUCUUUACACCAUACUGAAUAUAAGCUAACAUCAAAUACAGUCAAUAAAUAUUCCAAAUUCCAAAUGAGGCAACAAAUACUAACUGGCAGUAUUAAACUUAGUAUAGCAUACCUUCCAGGCUUAAUAAUUCCAUUGGCACUUUUGAUGAUGCUUAUCUUGGAAUUUUGAGAUUUCAGAACUGGCAAUUUAGUGGUGUCCUUUCGAGAAAAUAAGAGAAGCAAAGUAAUAAACAAAAAAGACAAGAAAAGAAGUAUAUCCAAAUAUUGAUAAUUUUAAGAAAAGUUAUUCAGAGUAAAAAAUAAAGGAAGUUACUUACAAAGAUCCAUUCUUUUAGGGUAUUCCACAGUGUAGGUAUGGGCUUGCCUUGGACUAUCUUACACUCAGCUUCCACACACAGGUUUUGGUACCUCAGUUCCACUGUGGGCAAAUUAAUACCAACUCUACAGAGCAAAAUAAUGAACAAAAGUUUAUUAACCAUAUUCAAAUUUACAAGAUAAAUUAUCACUCUGCUGGGUAUUUAGAGGUUUAGUGAACACCAUUCCACCAUAUAUUAUGACACUAAAAUUCAUCUAUUAACACAUGAAACUUACACGCCAAAUACUUAACUAGAUGAAAAUGUGUUUUUUCUGUGCCGUUAUAUUUAACUUUUUAUUUUAUCCUUUUCCAUGACACAUUUGAGCUAGACUUAUAUUGUAAAUAAAUAAUAAUUUGGUUGACUUCUAACAUGAUUAAUAAUUUAAUAAAACUUAGUGAAACAUCUCCAAGCAACACGAGCUAUAAAGGGAAAGAGAAAGAGUAGUGAAACUAAGAGAAAUUGUUACUUGUCAAUUCUGUUCCUGAAUUUCUGCAGCAAUCGAAGAUUAUCAUUCUCAAUGUGUUUAAUAAGCUUCUCUAUGAACAUGUGCCGUUCUUGAGCUCCAAGCUUGCUGACAUCAACAACCUGUUUCCCUUCAACUUUCUCACCUGUUUCCAUGCCAUCAUAAACAUCAAACAAAGCUGAAGUAAUUCUCUCAAAGGUGGGUAGCCUCUGAAUUUCAGCCCAUUGUAACGCUUCUCCGGCGUUGUUAUCAACUUCUUGUUGCACAGGAUUGAUGCUUGAAACGCUCUGGAAACUAGAGGCAUGACUUCUAAAUGAGGACCUUAUGCUCCUUCCUAUCUCUGCUAACUCAUUUCUCAGAGACUCUAUCUCAUCCGCACCUGCCAGCUGUGCCAUCUCAACACAACACUAAGGGGAUUAAAACUCAGAUAUGUGUGGAAUGCAUCAUAUUUUGAUCCUCUUCUGAACAUUAUAUAGAAACUUCCAUGCUGUGUUUAUAAGCUUGAUAUUGGCCUCUUUGAUGAUGCAAUGCAUUUUGUCAUGUGAAUGGGGAAUUGAACAUGCUGUUAAGGUAUCUAAUGAAAAGGAAUACAACUACAAACCUUUUUUAUACUAUUAUUGUAACUGAGCUUUCACUGAUACAUUAAUUAAUCACCAAAGUCCAUGCUGAGACAUGAUUGAAAAUAUUUUAGUAAGAAACAGGAAGGUAUACGUGGUCAGAAUUUAAUAAGAGCACGCAAGGAUAUAUCAAAGUGGCAUGGUUCAUUCCUUUUCUACUUCAUUUUGUGAAGCAACAAGCUUCUAGCCUGUUGUUCAUAUACAACAAAAGAUCUGAGUUCUAAACUCUAUCAAGCUCCCUUCUAUUGUCUCCAAUGUGAAUAGGGGCCAUUUUAUGGAAUAUCAUGCUGUUUAAUAAUAAAAUUCCAGUGUCUUGUUAGGGAAGUCUAAGGUAGAAUAUUUAUAUUAUAUAGUGGUCCCUUUGCCCUUGGUUCUUGAAGGAAUACAUACAUAUUAUGUAAAUUUGUUGCGUAAUGGAUUUCAAAACGACAUUGAACUCGUGACUCAUGGUAAUAAUUAAGCUGUAACAUAAUACCUAAGAAUACUAGCCAAAAUUUUAUUAGUGACAGUAGGCUUAGGUGCUACCUAAUGUGGGGGGCACUGGACCAAGAAAAAAAAUAAAAAAGUGCUAUGUGGGGCACGAGAUUUCUCAUUAAAAGAGAAGUCAAAUCAAACUUGGUCUUUAUUUGGAUUUUCACUUGGUUACGUUAUACAUCUCCGUUUUAUUCAACUAGAAGAGUAUCCUUGAGACUACCUAUCAUACAUAGUAGCUACUUAAUGCAUAACAGUAGAUGAGAGGUUGGAAUCCGUUAAUGUUUUUUUAUGUUCCUGACACUUAUGAUGUGUUGCAUGUCUUGUUGAGGAAGAAAGGGAGAAUCCCCCGUUCUACCAUAGUGAAAAAGUUACAAAUGUUUAAAUGAUAGCUUGUGGUUGUAUUAGCUGAAAAGAAUUUGUUAGCGCAAAAUUUAAUUAAAAAUGGUGUAUUAGUUGAAAAGAAUUUGUCCGUGCAAAAUUUAAUUUCAUGUUAGCUAGCUUGUGGUUUUUUAUUUCUACAAAUAUUUCAUUUACAAAAUGUAACAUUGAUUAUUAUGGUGUGGCGAAAAUGAUUUGUAUUAAGUCCAAAAACAGCAUGCUUGAUAUCAAUGUAUUUGAUUUUGUUGUCAAAUUUGCUACUGUAGAAGGUUUGAGGUAAACAAAUUGACAUGAUCCUUCAUGUGUGCAUCUUUGCAGUGAAUUUGAAUGGAAUCUUUUUCUUUAAGACUUGGAGAGCUGAGGAAGGUAGCUUCAGAUUACUCGUGUGUUAACUGGGUCAUGAAUCCGUGAUCCAACGUUUGAACAAGAGCAAAAUCUGAAUAGAAGAGAAAGGCUGUUGCAGAAAUACUAGUGAUGAAGUCUCACAUUGCUGAGAAGAGAAAACAAUGACCUGAUAUUUUAUUAUAAAACACAACUCUGGAGCCUUAACAACUCAUACCUUUCUCGGCCUUUUGGCUAAGAUCAAGUGUAGUAUCUGUUCUUAUCAGUUUAAUAUCUGAUAUGUGGGCCAUUGGUCCACACGAUAUUAAAUUACUUUUUUUAAGGGGAGAGGCCAACACAGUAGCUUGCUAUUGGGUCUCUCGUGUGUCGCCAUGCGUUGCACUUUAGCACGGGCCUGGCACACCCUACUUCUCAGUUUAAAGAUGUGCACUGAAUUAAUUGUUUUUCUGUUUAUAUGGCCAAGCUGAAUGAAAAAUUAAGUCAUAGAGAACUAUGUUUCUGAAGGUAGUAAUCUUAAAACCCAUUUCUAGGUCUACAAUUUUAGUGAAAGUCAUAAUUACCGUAUAGUAAUGGUACACGGACACAACCCUUUCCAUGAGCCAUCAGAUAUUGUUAAAACAGGAUGAAAGUAGAUCAAAUACAAAGGUAAACCUAUUUUAGUACAAAGUAAGAUACUGAAUUUUAUUAGUUCUUUGCAUCAUCGUGGCAUAUACGACUCAGCCAAAAAAUUGGGCGUCCAAAUCGGAGACAAUAACCCAUAAUUUGCUUUAGUUACCGUAGGUUUUAGUGCUGUGUGGUGCAUGAGAUUUAUCGGUAAAAGAGAUCUCUAAUAAACUCGGUCAAUUGGUAUUUCACUUGGUUCUAUGUUCUUCAAAAAAUUAAAACAUAAAAUACAUCUUUUGUCACAUGAUGCACAUAAAUUCAUAUAAGGAAUUGAUAUUUGGUAACCAGUUGAAAAUCAGUUGCCAGUACUGCAUUUGACAAGAGGAACACUGGUCUUUUUGCCUAACAACCACCAGUAAAAAUAAAUGGUGGGCGGCUGAAGUGCUAGAAGAGGAUCCACUGAGACUCGGACAGAAUACCUAUGUCAUCCAAACAUCAACUUAAUUUGGCUCAGUUUGAAGUUGAAAAUUCAGUAUUUCCACAGCACCGCUCUUACUCUUGACCUUCAAAAUUCAAUGAACACCCUAGCCUAAAUAAACUUGAUCGCUAAUGUGAUUUAGACAGAUCAAAGGUUGUCAUCCAUGCAACUAAUUUCAGUUUCUCUCUCGAUAAUAAUACUGAAAUCUAGAUAUCUUAUAAUUAAGUACAUUACAAAAGCAUGUACCCAUGUAUAGUUUGGAGCACUAGCAACACUUUCUAAUCCUGUCAUCAAACAUAGCCUCCUUCAGACAAGGCUGGUAAGCAGCAGGAAUGAAAGGCAGCACUUCAAUAUAACAUGAGCUCUAAAUUGACAAAAAUAAACUAAUAAACUCUACUAUCAGUUCAUUAAAUCUGUACACCAAAAGCUGCAGAUGUUAAGUUCUUUUCUGCGAAUCAAAUGGAUGCUAAAACAUAAAUUUAACUUGAACAACAUACAGAAGUUAGGCAGGACUAGCUGUCAUUCAUCGUGAAAAAUGAAGUUUGAUAGCACAACUCAGCAACUGGUCACUCCAUGUCAAAACAAAAAUUAACAGCCGCUCCCGGAAAAUGGAGGUAUAGAAUACAGAUGCAUUAGCAGUCUGAACUAUAAAUCAAAAAUCAAAUCAAGAUUUCAUUCUCAAACUGGCUAACUUUUUUAUCAUCAGUCAUCAUCGUCUGCUUUUCCUGCUCCAAAUAGUAUAUCUUGUCAUUCAUACCCUCUUUUCUAUAUGCCUCGAUCAUGAUCGUGUAUGUUGUGUCAUCUGGCUGACACUGGCUAUCUUUCAUACGCUUGAAAACUCUCUCCAUUUCCAUCAAAUCCUCUGCCUUUGCACACGCAGAUAAGACCGCAUUAUAAAAGGUGAUAUUCUCAGGUAUCUCGAGCUUUCCAGCCAAGCGAACACUGCUAAUUACUUUAUGGAAGAGACCAGCAUUUGCAUAACCAUUGAUAAGGCAGCAUAAAGUUUUGGUAUCUGCUUUCAUACCCUCAGCACGCAUCUGAUCAAAUGUACAUUCCAUGUGCUUCGCAUCACCUGCAUCUGCAAAUGCCUCAAUCACAUUGUUGUAAGUAGAGGUCGUCCAUGGAAAUUGCAACUUACGCAUAUACUCCAUAACAGAUGACAUUUUGUCAUACAUUCUUUUCUUCCCAUAGGCACCGAUCAAAAUAUUAAAAGUGCGCGUCUCUGGUUCUAUCCCAAAAUAACGGAAUUUUUCAUACCAUUUUUCCAUCAUAUCAAUCUGACCCAUGUUACCAAAAACACUGAUGAUUGUGUUCAUUGUCCAAACAUCAGGCUUGCAUGUAGUGCUCAGCAGCAUGCUGGACAGUACUUUCUCCAUCUGAUCAAACAUGCCCGCCUUGCCAUAACCACCCAAAACAAUGUUCUGAGUGACUGUGUUUGGCAUGAUAGACCUUUCAGCCAUUUCUUCAUACAGCAACUCAACCAAAUCAAAUUUGAAAGCAUCGACACAAACUUUGAUCAAGGUACUGUAAGUGAAAACAUCAGGCUGGCAACGAGGAAGCUUCUUCAUCUCAUUAAGAACUGAAAACGCCUCAUCAAUCAUGUUGCUCCUGCAAUACGCAGCGAGCAACGCUGUGUACAGUUCAGGAGUAGGUUCUAAACCUUCUUCAAUCAUUGUGGUAAAAAGCUGAUGGGCACGGUGGGGUUGACCAGAUUUUCCAAGCAACACAAUGAGUUUCAUGUAAGUCCCUUCUUUGGGUUGGUAAAAGGUUUGCUCUCUAAGCAUAUCAAAUACCUGUACAUUUAAGUAGAUUUCUUACCAAUAGGCACAGUCCGUCAUCUGAAUUUUUUGUUUUAAACAUUUAAUUUUGGUCCCUUAAAUUGUGUUCAUUAAACCAAAAGUUGAUAUUUCCAUCAAUUUACCAUACCAAUUUGGUCAAUAGGUGAGACAUUGAAAAAUUAACAUUAUUCGUAAAGGACCAUUUUGGUCUAACGGAAGCACUUUAAGAGGCAAAAUUAAAACUUUUUAAACUUGGGAUACCAAACUAAAACCGAUAAGAAACCAAAAUGACCUCAAAUUGGUUUCAUAUAGAUAUAGUGAAAAGGGUGAAGUGAGAGAGAGAGGAACCUGGAGGGCCUGAAGCCAGUGUUUGUUGUGGAUGCGUUCGGAUAAGGAUUCGGUGACAGUGUUGACCCAUGCCUUGGCAUCGUUCUUUUUGUCGAAUUUCUUCUUGAGGUUCUUAAGAGGGGUCUUCCUCCUAGUGUCGUUGGGGAAGGAUGGUUGGGAAGUAGCAGGAAACUCCCCUUUUUUCCAGUGUCGCUUUUUGACGGCGGGAGCUGAAAUGCCAAAGCGAAUGAGAGGGAAAGUAGGCUGAUGAUGGCUGUGGGUUUUGUUGGAUUUGUCGUGGGGAAUUCGAGAGGGGACGAUGCAAGAACAAAAAGACAAAGACAUGGAAGCCAUAGCCACCCACAGAUAGCUAUAGAACAAGACUGCACUUCAAAUCACCAUUUUCUCCUCCAAAUGACAAUUAAACGGAUUUUAAAAGGAUUUUUAGUCACCUUUUUUAAUUUGAUUUUUUUAGAUGAUUAUUUUUAAGUUAAAAUGCAAUAUUUAUCUCCUUAUAUUUUUAUGAAUUAUGUAAUUUUCGGUUUUCUAUUAAAAAAUAAGUUAAAUUUUAGAUUUUAAAAGUUUGAUUUUUUUCCAAACGAGAAUCAACUCAUUUAAUCACUGGGAUAAAAGAUGCGAUUUUGGAGUCACUAAAAUAUAGAUUUCAUUUCAAUUUAAAAAAUGAGUUAUAUUUUAGAUUUUUAAUUUUUUUAAACGAGAGUCAACCCAUUUAACCCGUUGGCUAAAAUGUGUCAUCGCGAACUUGCUAAAAUAAAUUUCAUUUUAAUUGUGGGCUUCACGUAAUACGGAAAUAAACGGAUUUAUAUACAUAUCUAACUUUACUUAUUGUUAAGUGAUAACCACCUGACAUCCACGUUAAUAAUUAUGUAAGUUAUCAUAUCAUUGACGAAUUUAACAUAACAUUUACGUAUAAUUUUUUUAAUAAAUUAUAUUCUUAAUUUCUUAUCUUUUUACAAAAUCUACUUUCGAUUUUCAUUAAUUUUUAUUCACAUUUUUUUAAUUAGUACAAAUCAAAGACAUACAAUAAAAGAUUUAUGAUUAAAAAAUUUACAAUAACUCAUAUCCUUCUUCGAACAACCAAACCACACUCCUCCAUAUAGUAGAUUUACUAUUAUUACUCUUAAUCCCUUAGGCCUCAACAAUUAUGUUGGUUAUUAUUGUUUAUAAUUUCCAAUACUAAGCAAUGAUGCGAGUGUACACAUUCAGAAGGAAGAGAAGACAAAUAAAUAUGAUUAGACAUAUAAUAAUGUAAUGAAAGGGAGAUAAAAAGCUACUACUGAAUCAAGUGGAGUGGUGAAGAUGCUUAUUUGGAAGCACUCGUGAAGAAUGCUUAUUUCAAUGACUCUCAUUGGGUUGGAAAGCGAAGCAUUUUCAUCUUUGAAAACAGAAUGGUAAACUAUUUAACUUGUUAUUGUAGACUACUACUUUUGCUUAGUAUGUUUUGUGUGACACCGGAGAAGCACUGAAAGUAAAAAAAUCAUACAGUAAUAAUUACAUUCUUUAUGACUACUACUAUAAUACUAACUUUAAUAAUGGUAAUAUAUAACAUGAAUUAAAAGUACAUUAUGUAAACCAAUAAAAUAUGUAUUUAAAGAUAUAUCAAUUUCUAACUAUAAAGCAUUAUAAAUAAAUUAUUUUAUUGAAUUAAAAUUUAUUUUUUUAUUUUAAAUAUAAAUUAUAAUAAAUAUAUUUUCCAUUAUAUAUGGAUGUUUGGGCAUUGGAUUAGUACCAAACUAUUGUGAUAAUGUCAUCUGUAUCGUAACUCAAAGCUCUCGGUAAAAAUAAAUUGUUAUUAAAAUAUUAUAAUUUUUACAUUUAUUUUUAUUUAGACUUUAUUGAUCCAAUUCUAACUAACUCGUGUAUGAUUGAGUUAGUUUGAUUUGAUUUUAACAAUAAAAUUAAACAAACUCAACUCAAUAUCCAAAUUGUAAAUUUCGAUUUGAUUACAUAGUGAAAUUAGUCAAAUGUAUUUAAUGAUAUAGGAAUAGUAAAUAAAUUUAAAAAUUUUAAUUUAAUUGAUUGAACAAGCAAGUAGGUGAAUUGUUAUAAACACUCUAGCAUUUAUCUUUUAUUUCAAAGGAUAAAAAAGGAUCAAUAAAUAAAUUUUCUUUUAAUUUAUUGUAUUUUUUUUUGAAAUAUUUUGUCAAUUUUUAGUUUUUCUUUUAUAAUUUUUUUUAUUUGUUAUAAUGUUUAUUUUACAAUAGUAUUAUAGCUAAAAUCUUAAAUUACUGUUAAAGUGUAAAUAAUCUAUAAAUAUAAAAUAUAAAUAUUUUUUUAAUUAAUAGACCGUAAAUAUAUUUUUUAAAUGAUUAAUUAGAAAAAAGAUAAAUUAAAUUUUUUGAGUAAUUUUGAGCCAAAGUAAUUUUACCACUUCCUUCUAUAUAUUUUUGUGAGUCUCUAGAAAAAAGUUCAUAAGUUUUGAUAUUUAUAAAUUAUUUACUAUUUAAGAUUUGAAAGCCCAUUCGUCUCAUAUUGUACAAAUAUUUAUACAUCAAUAUCAUUAUGGUGACCUCACCAUUAUACUCUAUACAGCAGAAAUUAAAACACCUUAUAUACAGCAUUACAUUGCCCCAUACUCCAAUGAUUCCCAGUUGAAGGGCUGGAACACAUAGUAAACUCUAGGUGAGCUUUUGAAGAGCAAAGCCACACAGACACACACAGCUGCUAUGGUCACCAUGGUGAGCAUAACUGGCCAAUAAACCAUUGCUGUUCUCAUGCCCGACAUUGACGUGGCAUUGUUGUUGUUUCAAUCUUCUCAGUCUGCAAGCUUGAAACUCUACAUGUCCUAUGUCCAUUUGAUUGCUUCUGCGUCGUGUAACUAUCUACAACAAUGCCAGUGAUAUCAACCACAUGCUGUCUUUCACCUUUUUUGUUGGUCUUCUUCUGGACUAGUUGAAUGUAGGAGUAAUAGCCCCUAAGGCAUGCAUAGUCGUUAGGGGUCAAACCUGUACUGUCCCGGGAACUUUUCCAUGCCUCAAUUCCUAACUGAACACAACAGACAUAAGGUUCAAAACAUAGUGUUCUAAGUUGUGAUCAGUAAUUCAAUCAGGGUCAGUGUAAAUAUAAUGAAAACCAUGCAAAUUUUCCUGCACGCUAGAGAACACACUCGCUGAGAAGGGGGAGAGACAGUGAUCUAAGUAAAAUAUAGCAAUCUCAUUUCAAUCUUGGAGACACUGCUCUAAAAGCCUGAAAUACAUAAAGCAAACAGACAACAAAGGAUUACCAUUCGUGGAUCAUCGGUUAAUGCAUCCAACACAUCCUCCAAGCCACUCAUACUUGCUGCAACAUGAAGAGGAGUCAACCCAGCUGGCCCAACAGUAUCAGGUCUAAACAAGAAUCUGUCAGAGGCUUCGUCAACUUGCUUCACUUCACUGUCUGCACCAUCUGAGGUUUUAACUGGCACAAAUCUUAACAGUAGUUCUACCAUAGGUCUACAAUUUCUCUUUACAGCUGUGUGUAGAAGACCCAUGUUUAACAAUGCAAGCUCAAUGGAGGCAUGCUCUCCCGCAUCAACACCACCCUCAAAUAUAAUGUCCAAGAGUUUGUUCAUCACAGCACACCAGCCAUGGUCCAUGGAGAAGUCAACGAGCCAAGCGAACCGAUUGAAUUGGAAGAGAUCACGGAAAGGAGCCAUGGGACCAAGCUUAACUUUCACAUGACUUCUAUGAAGAAGCCAACCCAUUUCUUGCAAGAAAUCCAAAGCUCUAGUCAUUUCUUCCAUUUGUUGUUUUUUUAUCUGGAUGUCAUCAGUGGUUUCAGCUGCCUCAAUCACAUUUUCUAGUUUGCAGAUCUCUGAACAAACCUCUUGCUCUGCAACUAUAAAUGGAAAGGAACAGCUGCUAAGACCAUGAUCUUCCACCUGACAGUAAAAAUUAUCAAAAUAUAGCUUCAGAAGAUAGCAGAAUAGAAAAAGUUAUUUUAAAUGUAUUGCUUUAUAUGCAGGAACUAUCUUUGGUUUCUUUCUUGGGAUAGCUUGCCUCUAUUCAGCCACUCUUUUAAUUUUCUUAGAUUUUUAAAUCUGUAGUUUGGCGUAAUGAACAAUAUGGGACUAAAGAGUUUAUAAGGAAAUCUGAACUAUAUGGGACCAAAGUUCACUAAAAGGUUACAAAAGCUAUAAGUAACCAAAUGGGGGAGGCAUUAACAACAGCGAUAUUGAAUCAUUAACAAAGGAGUUAUUCACCAAUGACAUUUCAAAAACAAGCAACAGAGAUUUGUGUUCUUCUGUUAGUUUCAGGAAUUUUGCAGCAUGCAAUCUAAAAUUACAAAAUGAAAUUAAAGCAUGUUUCACUUUGUUGACAUGAAAAACCCAAAAAACAAAUUCUUAGAGAAAUUUUGGAGUAUGAUAAUUUGAUACCACCUCAAUGAACCCCCUCCCAGUUACAUUUGGUAUAUGACAAGAGAAGCUUAGAUGCUGAAUGGGUGCAUCAGCUCCACCAAUCAAACCAUGACAGCUAGCAUGUACCAGAUACUUCCCUUCAAGUGCACAGAGCAACCUGGAAAUCAUAAGCAAGAGAUCAACAUCUGGGCCAAUCCCAACAAAUAAAAAUUAGAACUCGGAUCCUCCCUAUAUCCAAAUCGUAUACAGAAAAUGAAUAACUAAAUCCAAUGCACAGUAUUUAGCAUGUGAAGCCACCUUUCUUUCAAAAUUCCACCCAAUUAUAUUCAAAGGUGCUAACAUCCUGGGAAAAAGAAAUACAUUAUUGUUUUUGCCUUUUUCUAAUCCCUUCUUAUGAAAUUGUAUAUCCAGCAGCAUGAUAUACUAGAACCUUUCAAAUCAACAAUUUUAAGUAUUACUAGACGUAAAGAGAUUCACCUUGUGCUAGACUGGAAAAGGUUGAAACCUUUCACAAUAAAUUGAGCACUAGCACUUGCAGGAACAGCAAGUGGUUUAAUGCAUGAAAUCCUACAAUGUUGUGGGCUUUUGAGAUGCAAGGGCACAUCUAAGACUACCUGACCUGCAGGAGAGAUACACGAAAUCAAAACAGUUUCUAGCAACCAAAUUAAUGAACAAUAUAAGUUCUUCAUGAUACUAAAAAAAUUACAAUUACAUUAGAGGAAUGGUCACACAACACACAGAAUGAGGAAGAACAAACCGUUAUACAGAAAAGCUACAGAGUGCUGCACCCUUGCAUAUACCCAUCCUGUUCUCCAAAAUGAAUCAUUUGAUUCGGCAAGAAGCUUUCUCAAGCUUGAUCCUAGAUUACAGUAGAGCUGCAAUAUCAAAAUAGUAAUAAGUACAUUUAGAUUUCUUUCCCCCUUUUAAAUGGAUUUCAUCCAGUAGCCUGUAUUUGUGACAUUAUAUCAAACAAUACCUCCUCCCAUGCAGAUUUUUCAAGACGGAGGUAUAUCGUUAAUAUUAUACAACCUGGCCUUAUAUAGCUCUCCAUCUCCGUGGGACUGUGGGAUAACCAGUUGAGAAUCUGAAACACAAGAACUGUAAGUCAAACACAGCACAAAGAAACAUUGAUGUAAAAUUGUCUAUAGCAACUUCAUGGCACAAAAAAGUACCUGUGAUCGGAUAAGAAGGGGAAAAUCAGAUGGAUCCUUGCCAAAGAGUUUAAAAACAAUUCGAUCUGUGCGACUCUGUAAACAGCAAACAAAUAACAUGUCAUUCUGAGACAGCCACAAAAAAGUAGACCUACACACUAAUGAAAAGGCAAAGAACCUGAAAAAGGGACUUCAAAUAAUGACCUUGGCAAAAUAGUAUACAACAACAACAACAACAACGCCUUAUCCCACUAGGUGGGGUCGGUUACAUGGAUCAACUUCCGCCAUAAUGUUCUAUCAAGUACCAUACUUCUAUCCAAAUCAUUAAGUAAAACUUCGUACCCCAUUGUCCAGAGGCUCUUCGCUAUGCGAAGGUAUGGGGGAGGGAUGUUGUACGCAGCCUUACCCUUGCAUAUGCAAAGAGGCUGUUUCCGGAUUCGAACCCAUGACCAACAAGUCACCAAGACACAACUUUACCGCUGCACCUUGGCAAAAUAGUAUCUUUAUCAGUAAAGAUAUCUAUACAAUCAUUCAAACAAUCUAAAUAUUUUGAUACAAAGGUAAAUAGAAGAAUAAUUAAAUUAUUCAGAAAAGAGGAAAUGGAUUUAAAUGACAUCAAGAAUAUACCUGAGCUUCUCCACUGGAACUGGAUGGUGAUUGGAUAGAGGUUGAAUCUGAGUUUCUACUUGUCUGUGGAGGACUUGAUUUGAGAGAAUCACGCUGCAACCAUGAGGCACGGUCAAUAGACCCCAUCACUGAAGCCACAGGAGGAUAAGGCUUCUUAUGAUUCUCAACAGUAUUCUGUAUAUCAUUGUAACCAUUAUUAAGGUCAAUGUUAUUCAAGUUUCCCCUUCCUACUUUAGUCUCUGCUGUAGUUAAUUGGGAUGGAAGGCUGUCCCUUGGUUGACAUACAUUUGAGAACAGUGGUCUUGAAGGAGGUUUUGAAUUUCCUACUCCACCAUCACCUGAAGCUAUACAUUUUUGUGUCCUGCCAUCAGCAGGUGUUUCAUACUGCGCCACCGGCAUUGUAGGGUCCUGAGUGAUGAUGACAUUGUCUGUCUUGAUGAAAGAAGAAGGCCUGGAAGCUUCAGGAGCAUUUGAGUUAAGGUUGGGUUUAUCCUGAGCAGCUCCGGGCGUCCCAGCAUUUACCAAGUCUUUCGAUUCCUCCAGUAAGGGUGCUAACCUUCCACCAUUAUUUGGACCAGCCAGACUUGCCAGGUUCUUCAGCAGAUGAGAGAGAAUAUCCUGGUUCCUUGUAUGAUCUGAGCCAUUUGCUGCAAUUUAUACAAGGCAUAAUCUGUGGAGUCAUCCUGGAUGAAGGUGAAAUGCAAAAAUGUUCCAACACCAGAGACAUCAUAAGCAAUUUUCUUCUUUUUCAAGUCAUAUUAAAUACAACUGCACCAUAAAAGUACAACAAUACCAUUUUCAGGUGUCCAAAUUCUCUAAAUUAGCAUCAACACGGAUGACAGCUACCUUAUUAAGAUUUUGCAACUAAAAAGAAUUAUCAAACAGUAACCAUCAGUAGCUUGGAUUCAUAAUCAUUACAGUUACAUAGUGCAUCAGCCAAAUAAAUAAAUCAUGAAGAAUGCCUAGCAGAUAAACUUCUGAUGUCACAAAUACUCACAAUGUAAAUUGGUCAGUAUCCGUAACAGACUCAUCAACAGAUAGUUACUGCCCCUUUGAUCGUUCAGAGAGCCUUCAUUAACAACAGAAACAUCAGGAUGAGUUUUCCUCCUCCUCCUAUUGUGGCCUGCCAAACGCCUUCGACAACUUCUCUUGCCUUCAUCAAACUCUUGAAGAACAUGAAACCUGUCAAAAAAAUUAACAGAUUGCAUCCAACUUGAGUACAAAGGUAGGUAAAUGCUGUGAAAUUCUAUUUUAUUUAAAAAUAAAAAAUAUAUAUAUUUUAAACAACUUCCACUUAGGACUAAACUACAAGAAAUAAAGGGUCUUCCCUUUUCUGAACUUCCACAAAAAAUAUUAAUUUGAUGAUCACAUCACACAUAUGAAGAUGUAUAAUAUAACCCCCGAGAAAUUAUCAGUUUGCAACCUAACUUACCUGCUACACUGCUGACAGAAACGUUGCAUAACAUUUCCCACUAGUGCCAUAGUGGCCUUAGAAUGAAUAUCACAAACCUUAUGCCGACGGUGGUAAUCCUUGGCAUUACUAAGAUCAGCCCUACAAUCUUGCACCUGACAAACAGCACGAUUAGAGGCAGUGGUAGUACUAGCUGUAGUGGUCCCAAUUACCUUUGUUUUCUUUCCACUCUUUUCUUCUUCUUCCACCAUGAGAGGGUAACCUUGACCCGCAAGGUUCAAACUAAGAGAACCAGCCUCAUAAUUCAGUCCCUCACCUUCACCUUCACCUAUAACACCCCUCCUCCUUUUCUCCAAUUCCCUCUUUCCUUCACCUGAGAUGAAAACAGAAUAAGACAAAUUGGUGGUAGAUGGAUUAGCAUUUUUUGCAGGAAUUUCAGGAUGAGGUGGGGAAAACUGGCGACCCCUACAAUCAGAUGGCACUGAAUUGAGUGGUUGAGCAGUGAAAAGAUCACCAUCCCAUCUCCAAUCAUUCAAAUCCCAUUCCAAACUCCUCUUCCCAUUCCCAACAACAGCUUUCUUCAUUCCUGACACCACAGGUCCAUACAAGUACUGAUUCUUCGCUCCAAACUCAGCCUCCAUCAAUCAAAAUCUAACUUGUUGCAACAAAGUCCAAUAACCAAUUCCAAUUCCAACCCCACCUGCAACAAAAAAAACACAUCAACUAAUAAUAAAACUCAAAAGGGUGGCAGGCCAGACAGAAAAAUUGAAACUUGAGGGAGCAUUUUCACAAAGCGUGAAAAUUUACAUGAUGAGAAUAAGAAUUGUUUUGUGUUUUUAGGAAGUAGGGAGAAAAGAGAAGAUGUGGGACUUAAAAAGAGACAAGAGAGAAAUAAGGAACAGAUUAUGUGACAUCAAAAUGUCUCUUUUCUGUGCUGACUGCUCAUACUGAAGACUCAUGAUGAAUCAGUUAGUGUUUAUAUUUAGUGUGACUGUGACCUCAUUGUCAUCAUGCCUCGUGGUUUGGUAAAACUUAAGGAAUCUCCACUGUCCCAAACCCAUUUACUACUUUUCUGGAUCGUUGAAAAUUGAGAAACAUAGUUAAAUUUCUAAAAGUAAAUUAUAUAUAUAUAUAAUAUGUGUGUGUGGGGUCACGGACCAGCAGUUAUGAAAAAACUGCACGAGUGGGAUCAUACAAAUAGUAUCACAUUAUCUUAAAAAAAUAAAAAUAAAGACAUAGUAUCACACAAUAGUUUUUUUGUUUUUUUAUAUAACAAAUUAUCACUAGUUUUAUUAAUGAUUAAUUUUUAUUUCACCAGUCAUUUUUAAUAAAUUUUUUUUAAUUAUAUACUUUUCAUUUAGAAUACUGAAAUUCAAAGUCUUAUUGUAAUAUUAAUGAUCAUAAACUAUUUUAUGGCUUUAUAUGUUAAUAUUGUUAACAUUUUUUUCCGAUUAUGAUGAAUAAAAAAAAUAUAAUUAAAAAAAGAAUUGAGAUUAGCCAAUUUUAUGAGUUACUAAUUACUAUAUAAGCCAAUUUUAUCAACAACGUAUAGAUUCAAUUCGUAUUAAAAAUACUUGUGGUUAAUUAGAGACGCGUCAUUAAACUCUUCAGCUCAGAGUGUGAAAGAUAUCAUAAAAAACGCAAAAGAGAUAAUAAAUAUCUCACGGUCUAGUAUUUUUUUUUUCAAAAUAUCUUGAACAGAACAUUAAUUGAUACUAUUUUACACAUUGUGGGGGUAAAGACAUUCUUAGCAGAUCUUCCUUAAAUUCAAAGGGUUAUGAUAAUAGGUUUUCAUACAGGAGCUGAAAAGUUUUUUAAAAAAUAAAUUAUAAACUACAUAAUUGAAUCUGGAUUAAAUCACCUCAAUUUUGUUAAAUUUUGCAAGAGCAAUAUUGCUUAUAUAUGUACACCAACUAUUAACGGAUGAUUAUCCAAGCAAUUAAUCCUACAGUUUCGUACGUAGUAGAUGAACUCAACUCAUAAAUCAUAAUUGUUUGUGUCCAGCCUUAAAAGGCAAAUGAAAGCUACAUAUCUUCACGUGGGUCUGAGCAAUUGAUAGAAAUCGGAAAAAGGGUGUUCAAAGUGACUCAAAGGGAAAUUCUCUAGAUAUUUAUUGGAAUUGCAAUCCAAACAUUUCUUAGAAUUAAGGUUUGGAUUCAACUCCACUACAAAAUCUAGUAAUAUGAACAAAUCACUAUCGUAAUUUUGUAAUUAGAUUGCAAAUGAUCCAAUGAUAACACGAUAACGAAUGGUCUAAGAAUAAUACUAAGAUAAAUUUUUAUAUCAUUUUAAAAUUGAAAUUGAAAUUAAUUAACAAUAAGAUUUUGAGUUUUGGAGUUGAUUGUGCAUAAAUAAAUAGAAGAAAUUAAAUUAACAUUCUUUGAAAAAAAAAUCAAAUUACACAUAAUAUCCCUCUUUAUUUAAUAUUUACAACAACCUCUCUGACUAAAGAAUGUUAGUAUAGCAUUUUCAAACAUUAAAGAAGAUUCAUAUUGGAAUAAAAAAAAGUAAUGUAUAUAAAAGUGACAAAAUAGUGGAUCUAAAUUUUUUUAAUCUAGAUCAUGGUGGAUCGGAUCAAAACAAUACAUUCAUUUUGAUCCAUUAAAAAUUUAAUCCAUCUAUGAUUUAUUUAAUAAAAUUCAAUUUGAUCCUUUCAUUAACAAUUUUUAGCAUAUAUAUAAAUACUCUCGACCCAUUCAAAAACAUUGAAAAUUAAAUAAUUAUCAUAAAAAUUUAUGAUAUAUAAUAAUUUGUGAUUAAAUUAUAAUAUAAAUUGUUUUGCAGCAGUGCAUAUCAUAUUUUCUUAUAAUUGAAUGACAGUGUGAUUGUUCUUUUCACCGUUUUGUUAUAUUUUACAGUGCAUAUUAGAUGUCUGUCCAAAGACAAAGACAAACUGAAUCUGUCCUUCCAAAUUCUACUGCAUAUUGGAUUUGACGUAGCUUUUUACCCAAAAAUAGGAUUUAAAUUGAUCCUCUAGGACUAGCACUAUAACAAAAAGCUAGUAUAAGAUGCUCUUGGUUCUUGGCCCCUUCCAUUUAAUUGCAAGCCAGUAAUAGGUCCAUUACAUGCAUUAAUUAAAUGUAUUUGAAUCAAACAUUUAUAACUGGAUGAGGAAAGAACUUUAGCAUGCAGGUUCCUUAUCCACCAGCACCCUCAAAUGUUAAACAAGUUAAAGGUUAUAUUUGGUAAAAUUAACUAGUGAUUUGAAGUUUAAAAGUUAAUUUAUUAAAUUAGAAGUAUUAAGUAAAAUUAAUUAUUAAAAUAUCUGAAAAGUAAAAAAUAAUAAUAUUAUGAUUUAUUUAAAAGAGAUAAUAAAUAUAUUAAAGAUAAGAGUGAAAAGAAAUAUAAAAAAUUAAAAGUUAAAAACUAAUAUUUUAAAAAGUGUUGCUUUAAGUAAUGUUUCUGAAAACAUUAAAAAUUAUUAUAAAAAAAUUUAUUUACUGAACAGUCAAAUCAACUAAUAAAAUUAGUUAAAAUAUCUUAUUUAACAUAACGUAAAUGUUGUCAUAUUCAAGAAGAGAUGUUAGAUUUAUGUUAUAUAAUAAUUUUUACUAACACUUUAUAUUUUGUCUGUUUGAUAUAUAUCUAUUUUAUUCGUACGUUUUCUCUCUUUUUUUUAUAUUGAAUAUACGAAAAUAUUGUGUAAAUAAAAUUUAUCGGUUAACAAUAUAUGUUCAUGUUGAACCUGAAUUGAAUACCGACACAUGUAUAAUAUAAUUGUUUUCAUUUAAAAGAAUUAUUGUCUUAUCAUCAAUCUUUUAUGUAAUUUUUUUUCUUUUCUCUAGAUAUUAAAUAAAUCAUGAACACAACAUUGAAUAUGACAAAAAAAAUUCAAAUUUAACUACGUUUAUAUUAUCUCUAUAAAUUUUGUAAGAGAUUAUAUAUCAAGAAUCAUACGAUGAUAAUGUCAAAUCAAUAUAAAUAUAACUUAUAUAUUUUUUAAGAAAAAUAUAAGUUAUAAGUUAUAUUAAAAAAAGUAAAUUGUGUUCCUCUAAUUUAAGAGACCCUUAAAUGAUACUUUCUUGCCCUGCUUAUUUUAAAAUAUAGUUAUCCUUAUUGAGUGAUGGAUACGAGUUAUAUUUGAGUUUAUUUUAAAUUAAAAUUAGUUUUCAUUUUUUUUUCUCACGGAAAUUCUCAACAUAAUUAACAACAAGUUUUAAAAAUAUUUUUUUGUUAAAAAUAAUAUUUAUCACUAAUUUUGUGGAUAAAAAGAUAUGAUUAAAAUUUGGAAAAAAAUAAUUUGAUAAAAGAAAUAAUGAAUCAAAUUUUUCAACUCGCAAAUUAAUCAUCAAUAAAAUUAAUAAAUAUUUCUUAUCAAUAACAUAAUAACAAAAAAUAACCCUCCAACAUAACGAAGAAGUCAUGUUGCAUUGCAGACAGGAUUAACUAAAGCAAGAGAAGAGAAGAAAACAGAAGAAAGGAAAGCAAUUGAGAAUUGGAAAGUAGAAAGAAGAGUAAGUGUGCAUAUAAUAAUUACAUUACAUUAAUUGUACGUAAUGCGGUCCCAGAGACUGAGAGAGACCAAAUCACUGGCAACUCGAUCAUGUGCUUGCUGUGGACGACAUUGCCUCUUUCCUCUGCAUGUGGACCAAGAUUUAUUUGUCCUCCAUUCCCUCUUUCUCUUUAUUAGGGAGACAAAUUUAAUUACUAAAGGAGAUCAGAAAAUAAGUGAGUUAUAAUUUCAUAAUUUCCCUCAUUUAGAUGGUACACCAAUACUGGGGUAGAGGUAGAGGGGAAAAAAAAGACAACAACUGAGUCACACCCAAUUAUCCUUCAUGAAUUGAGAAGAGAUACAAUUGAGUGUUUUUUUUUUCUUUAUGUUAUUUAAAAAUAAAACAUACAAAAAAUAUAUUUUAUAUUAAGAAAAAUAGUAGAGUAAUUAAAAAUAAAUAUAUUUUUAGAUUAAAAAAAUGCUUUUAUUUUAUUUUCUUAUUUCUAUUUAUUUAAAUAAAAAAAACGUUUUUAUUUUAUUUUCUUAUCAUUUUUUCCUAUUUUUUCUUUCUUCACCAUUUCACUCCUCAUUAAAAAAAAGAAAAAAAAACGUGGCUGCUGAACAUAAUGUAGAUAUGUGGUCAAACCUUUCUAAUUAAAAGAGUAUUCUCGUUUUUCCAUAUUCAUUGGAUAUUUUCUCCCAUCAGAAUCAGUACAUGUUCCAUCUCAAUUUGCUUAUUUACAGGAGAAAAGGUAAAUCUCACUAACAAGGGUUCAUGCAUGGACAGAUAACAGAUUCUUUGCACAAUGAUCCUAAACCUUUUGUUUUUCUUUUUUCUUUUUAUGAAUUAUGCAAACUAUUAAUAAUCGUUAUUUAAACUUCAUAAAAUAUCUUUGCAUAUUUGUGCAUGCGACUGCCAUUUUUCAAAUCUUUACAAUGUACCGUAGUAUUACAUCGAUCUCUUUCAAUCUCAACCUCCAAAACAAAAGUGACCUUGCCAACAAUGCAAACAUGAAAAACCUGCACUCUCUUUGCGCGUGAAUCAAUAAGGGAAGUGGUAUGUAUAUCUUUGAUAUUUUGAAGAAACAACCAUAGGUCUCUUUUUUUGUUUGUUUUAGAGUUUCUUAGCCCUAAAGGUACGUUCGAGGAGAUGUUUUCUUUACUACAUUGGAUCUUGGGUACUGUGUAAAGGAACUUCAGUGUUUAUUAAUUUCCAUUUGAAACAAACGGCCCUUAGGAAGACAUAAUAACUUUAUUCCUUUAAGUGUGGUCAAAAGUAAGAUUUGAUCCCAGAUGUAUACGAAAAAAUAUCUGUUGAAAAAAAUAAAUUCAUUAAAUAGAUAUCACUAGAUUGAGAUACUAUUCUUUGAGUCUUGAUUGAAAAUACACAUAUUAACCUAAAAAUGGCUCUGUAAAAAAAUAAAGUAAUAGUCAUUUCUUUUCUUAGGCACACACAUAAUCAAUCUAACUGGUCCACCCAAAAUUAGGACUAUUAUUUCCUACACCUCCAAGUUGAUUUCUGUAUCUUUUUUUUUAAUAUUUUUUUUAUCUUUUAAAUUGGACCCCGAAAGUAAAAAAAUUGUAAUAAGGCCAAAACAUAAAAUUAUUAUGUAAUAAAAUCAAUAAAUUUUGUGACAAUUAAUUUUGAUCUAAUAAUGUAUUUUUUAUGUAAAUUUAUAUAUGCAUUAAAUAUACAUUAAAAAUUAUAGUGUUAUAUAUAGCGAUAUUGAUUAUUUUAUAACAUAAUUGACCUACUAACUCAAUUGGUUAGAGUGUUCUGUUAAUAACCUAAAAGUCACAGGUCGUAAGUCUCUUAUGGAUUACGAAUCCUUUUAUUAGCAGGGAUAAUUUUGGAAAAAACAAAAAAUUGUUAGAUGUACAAGAAAAAUGUUGGGUGCACAAAUAAAGUCCACAAGUUCUCGCAAGUCAUAACGAGGGCCCAAUUUGCAUAAGCCUCAUGACAAAGGAAUAGAGGAUAAAACUAUUUUGGGACUUAAAUUUCACACAUCCGAUUAUUCAAUCAAAAGACCAUUAUACUCUUGAUGAAAUUUUCACUUCUCAUCUCUCAACCCUAACACCUCCCUUCUCCCUUCCCUCAAUUCUAACACCUCCUGCAAUGGCAUAUCCUUCGACGGCCACCACCCGUGACAACAUCUCCCUCUCACUCCCUCAUUCUCGUUCCUCCUCCAAAGAAGGUAAGUAGCUUCUCUAAUCCUAUUUAAUUAACAGUAAAAUAGCUUCCAGAAUGACAAUUCCGUAAACAAAAAAUCCUUUUGGAAGGACCUUUACUUAAGCAAAAAAGCUUCUGGAAGGGCUGUUCUGAAAGUAUUUUUGCUUAUAGAAAGACCAUUUCAAAAGACGUCUUUUAAAAUUUAGAACAACCUUUUUAGAAAUGUAUUUUAUAUAUUCUGAAAAGGAGAUUUCUAUAAAUCAGUAUUAGGCUUACGAAAAACCCAUUUCGGAAGCAAAAACUACAAUUCGAAGUAGUUUUUUCAAAAGUGUAUUUUGCAACUUUCAAAAACGCCAUUUCAAAAAGUACUAUUUUGACUUAUGAAUGGAUCAUUCUAGAAGCAAAAAUAACAAUUCGGAAUAGUCUUUCUGGAAGUACAAUUUGUACCUUUUGAAAUGAUCGUUUCAAAUAACAUUUUUUUGUAUGAAAAAGAUGUUCUAUAAUAAUUAUCCUUUAAAAAGAGUCAUUUUGUAAAAAUAUUUAUACCCUUACAGAAUACUUGUUCCAGAAACAAAUCCACAAUGUGAAUGUGGAUGCGUUAAAACCUACUUAUAGAGUGAAGAGGGACUUUUGCAGCAUCAAGUUGAAUUUACUUUGUAGCUUUGAUGAUUGUGAGAAGAAGAGUUGGAGAAGAAAAGAAAAAUUGAAAAGGGGAUCUGGACUUGCACUGCAGGAAUAAGAGAACAACAUGAAUAGGCUGUGGCUGCAGAGGAAGAAGAUAGAAGGGGUAAGUUGGAAUUUUUAAAAAAAUGGGAGAUGUGUAGAAUUCAAUUACCAACUAUUUUUUAGGUUCACACACAGCAUAAAACUGUGUUGGCAAAAUCUUUUGCCUAAUUAUGCUCUAGUUCAAUUGAAUAUACUAGCUCCUCGUGGUAGAAAAGGUGCAGGCUUUUCAUGUCUCACCAUUGAGACGAAAAUAAAACUUACGAUGAUCUAAUGCACGACCAAUAUGAAUAUUAUACAUGACACUAUCCUCCUAAACUCAAUCAUAAUUAAAUUUCUUUGUUAGGCUGUAGUUUUCUGUCUUCUAACUUUUAUUCUCAAUUAUCAACAGAAGUUAUACUGAUAAAUUAGAGUUAAGUUUUCAAUACAUUUUUUUUCAUCAUGAAGUACAUAAACAUAAUUAAUUUUUUUGACCAUCAUUUUAAAAAAUAAACAUUAACAUAACUUCGCUACAAACAGUAAAAAAUUUAUACUUAACCAGAAAGUCCAUUAAGUAAGAAUUAGUAUGUUUAGAUUUCACUUAAGAAACUGUAAAUCACACAAAAACAUGAUUUGGAUAAUAGUUAUGAUAAACAUUUUUUUUUUACCAAAACCAUGAUUUGGAACCUUCCCAACAGAAACACGCACAAAUUGGUUGACUUGACCGAUACAUUUGAUUUUUGACAGAACUUUUAUUGUAGUUGCAUCUCCUGGUUGUUUCGUGGGUAGCUCUUUAACAUGUGCAUUUUGCGAUUCCAAUUCGCAUGUAUCCAAAUAAAUAAAAAGACGAAAUCAAAAUGAUAUUUCAACCAAAUUGACCUUUAACUUUACAAAAGGUGAUAUACACAUUUCGCAAUUAAAACAGUACUAUUUUUUAUAUGUGAAUAACCCAAAUAAAAAAUUAGAAAAUAUAGAUGGAAUCUUUAACAAAAAUGCCAUCAUAAGCCAGCCAAAUCCAGCAUCACAAAUGCAAUUCCAACCAAAGGCUUCUAAAAGUUGCAUGACAACAAUACGAGCACUAUGCUAUCUUUAUCCAUUUUUGCUGUAUAGCAUUUAGUUAACGCAAAACUGUUUUGAACAACUUUUUCGUGAACUAAUUAUUUAAAACUUUUAAUUGAUAAAUGAAAAACAUAAAUAAUUCCAGGUUUAGUAAUAAAAUGAUGAAAUAGUCCAUACACUCAAUAUUUAAUUUAAUUACAAACUGAUAUAUAUAUAUAUAAUAAAUUUGUUAAGUUUUAUAAUAAUUAAUUUAAAAUGCUAUACAGAAAAAAAUAAAGGAUAAAGGUAGCAUAGUGCUCGGAUUUGUCACUAAAGUAAAGAAUUGUAAUUUUAUUUUUUAAAAAUGUAUAAUAAAAUCAUAAUAAAUAAAUAAAUAAUAAUUAGUGUAAUGAGUCUCGCUCGACUCUUGGUUGGAUGAUAAUCUUGAUGUCAACAAAAAAAAAUCAUUUUUUUAAUCUUCUUUUAAUGUAAACUUUGGUACUUAAGUCAUUUUGAGAAUGAGUGAAGUGAUGAAAUUGGAGAGUAAAGACAUUAAUUUGUGUUAUCGUCUCUGGCCCUUUUAUAUUGAGGAUUUCUCAUUCAUCCCUUGAUUUUGUACGUGCAUAUAGAGAGGAUACGUCUUUCUCGCCUCACGUGAUUUUCGGAGGUUGUUUUGUUAUUGGAUAAUUUUAAGUAUGAUUUGUUGUUUCGCAUGUGUAUUACCUUGAUCCGAUUUGGUCAGUGUGUUCUUACAGCUUUUGGGUCUCUCAUGUGCACAUUUGUCUCUUGUUUUUACACUUUUAUGAUCUAGAACGAAUAAUUAAUCAACCGAUAACCAUGCUUUAAUGUGAAACGAUUAUAGAAUAAAGUUGAAAGAAAGUAGAAACAUUACCGACAGUGGCUCAUGUAUUUUCCUAUUUAUUUUGUUUGUUUGAUUUGAUUUGAUUAAUUUUCAGGGUACUCUAAUGAUAUUAAGUCACAAUCUAAUUAUCCUUUGUAGUAGAUGGUGAGAGUUGUCUUCUCCCAAACCAUCAAAUUAUAAGAUCCAAAAUCUCUUUUGAUGAGGUCUGAUCCCUCCCGUAUAUAUAAACAAAUUUAGAAGUUAAAAUUAAACAAUACAUAACUUGAAAUUAAUGUUCAGAGUGCAUUUACUUUAUUAUAACACUAUAAAUAAAUAUGAAAAUGGUAAAGCAAAAGUUCAAAAAGCUUUGUGUUUGAGACUAACUUUGAGUUUAAUUUUUCUUUAAAUUGUAUCAAAACGGAAUACAAGUUACAAAAGUUAUAUUAUUAUUUAUUGAAUGUCUUGGUUGUGGGUAGUAUCGAUUGACAGUGGCAGACACAGACAGGCAACAACUAGAUUUACAAAUUGGAACAUUAAUUAGAUACGUAAAUUACGUGUUUCUUAUAAUUGUUUUUGAGGAAAGAAAAUGAUUAAGAAAAAAUGAACGAUAAUGUACUUUUUUAUGAUUUUAAUUAAUAGCAUACAUAAAAUAAUCAUAUAUAUAAAAAUAAACAAACUUAUUAUAAAUAACAGUUUAUAAUUAAAUAAUAAUAUAAUUAUAUAAAUGUAUUUUAAACUCUUAUUAUAUUAUUUAUUUAUUUGAAUGAAGAAAUUAAAUUUUUGUUAAAGUUUUAAAAAGCUCUUCAUUCUUUCAUUGACUGGACCAUUUGCAAUGGAGAAUCGUGAAUAAAGAAAAGAAAAAAAAAAGGAUAAAAAAAGAGAAGAAAGUGCCCGCCGUUUCGGAAACGGGCUUUUGAGUUUGUUGACUUGGCAAAGGCAAAGGCAAAGGCAGCGGUUGUAAUAAAUGUGAAUAAAUAGCGUUUGGUUUGGUGAUGUUCAUAAGAGGUGUCUCGGUGAAGUCAAGGUUGGUCUCUUCUGGUCUGUUCUGUUCUUCUACGCAGACACAUAACAUAACACAACGCACCUCUUCUUCUUCUUCUUUCCCUUCAAAUUUCAACUUCUUCAUCCAUUUUGUGCUCCAAACAGCACAAACACUGCAAUCACACCGUCUUCGCUUUCUACUCAUCUAAAAGGUGGUUUUUUUUUUUUCCCUUUCAUAACACCGAUUCUUCUCUCUGGGUUUUCGUUUCUCUGUUUUUGUUUUGUUCCUUUAACCGUUUGGUCUGUUACCCUUUUCUUCUCAUCUCAUCAACACGCACGAAUAUCGAGACUUGGAAUUUUUUCUUUUUUGAAAAAAAAUAAUUUUUGGGUUCAACUCUGUCUCUACAUAAAAGAAUGAAUUUUUUUACAAAGUCCAUCUGUAAUAUUUUUUUAUUUAAAACCCAGAAUUCUCUUUAAUCACUUUGGUUUCAUGCUUGCUUAUUACUUUUUGGGGCUAAUUGUCUUUGAAGUUGUUUAUUUAUUUAUUUUCUGGGACAUGAUUAAGGUGGUUCUGCAUGUUUGUUUGUUUGUUUGGGCAGUGUUACCCUUUCGGGGUUUAUAUAUAAAUAAUAGAAAUAAGAAAUUUUAUACUUUCUGCCUUUCCAAAGUUUAAGAGUAAUAGAAUGUAACCGUAAACCUUUCUGGUGUUUUUUUUUUAAUCGUUUUUUGAAAGUGAAAUUUGCUUUCACGACAUUUGUUUAUUGGGAGUAAUAUAAUGUGCCGCUGCCGGUUUUUAUUUGUGGGGAUGGUUAGUGAUUUUUUUCUUCUUCUGAAUUUUAAUUCAUUUGUCGGUGUUCCUGUUUGCACUUUGACUAAUUGCAUGUAAUUUGGUGUUCUGUCAUGCAACAACAGAUUAAUGGGAAUGUGUGUCCCCUUUAUUGUCCAUGUGAAGGGGAAAAACCUUAAAGCCGAGAGAGGCUACUUUUCUUAUAAUUCCCUUUAGUGGUUUUGGAAGAGCCUAAGUAUUUUUCUUCUCUUUCAUUUUAUUUUAUCAUGUUGCUGCAAAGUUACUGACAAAGGGCUUGUUAGUUCAUCUCUAAAUUUUGUUUCCUUGUCUUGUCUAUAGUUUUUUUAAUGGUGCAAUUUAUGUUUGUGUUCCUAGUGCUUUAUUUCUUUUGAAAAAUUAAAAUGACUAUUUAGUUUAUACGAUCGAAGGGGAAAAAGAUGAAAAAAAAUACUAUGUCAAUUUAUAAUUUGCUUUCCAUAUUCUCAUCAUGUGAAAUUCUGAACAAUGUUAUAACGAUCAAUGUUGUAAUUAAGUUUCUGUCCGGAAAAGCAAAUGAUCAUUGAUCAAAAGUUUUGAGUUGAUCAUAAAUGCCGAAAAGGUGAUUCCACAGUGUGAGAACUUCAAAAUUCUUCUAGAAGUAUGUUAAGACAUUGUAUAUACACUAGCAUGAGAUAACAGCCUAACCACAUUUGCAUAGGUGGUGGUUGAUUGGUUCUUUUCUUUUGUUUAUGUUUGGUGUUGUUUAUCCUCAGAGAAAGUGUGCCUAGUCUUAUUGAUACUUCUUUCAGUGACUUAACCGGUUAUAUUGAAACUUACCUCCAGAUAGAGGUUCAUGGGUUGCUUUGGCUUCUGCAAAGGAGAUGAUAGUGUUACAGUUGCUGACAGAGGACCUUUCAUGCAAAGCACUCCUACUGGUAAUCCACCAUUUCCAUUCUUUUUUCCACCUUUAAAAUUUUCUAUUUUAUGAUUCUUAAUUCUUACAUUUAAUUUCAUACAAGUCAAUGACAUGAUUUGAAUCGCAAGGUUCAUGCUUUGUGUCUACAAUCUGUACAAAUUCUUAUACAACAAUUUGAUCUUGAAGUCAUUGGCAUUUCAUGCGAUUCUUAUAUCUUUUUUUGUGCCAUUCUCAAGUGAUCACCUUCUAAAUUGAGAUGUUCGGAAAAUGGCCUGUCCUAAGUCUUCUAGUUCAAGUGAUUGUAGUAGUAUUAAUUGUAUAUUUAUACUUCUGUUAGCAGUUCAUAACUCUUGUUUUCAUUUUGGCUCCACUUUCGUUUGGUCUUAAUCUGUUAAUACAAUGCAGGGAACCCCAGUUAUCAUGGAAGACACACAGCAGUAACUGCUCCUCGGACUAUAAAUUUUCAACCUAUUGCUGUCCCUUCCAUCACAGUAGAUGAAUUGAAGUCUUUGACAGAUAAUUUUGGCUCAAAAUAUUUCAUUGGUGAGGGUGCAUAUGGGAAAGUAUAUCAAGCCACAUUGAAAAAUGGGCAUGCAGUAGUAAUAAAAAAGUUAGAUUCCAGUAAUCAGCCAGAGCAGGAAUUUCUUUCUCAGGUUUGGUUCAAUUGCAGUUGUAAACUUUUAGUGAUAAGACUGUAAAAGGGAAUAUGUUUUUAUUCAGUACUUCUGAUUCCCAUCUUUUGUAGGUCUCCAUCGUAUCAAGGCUAAAGCAUGAAAACGUUGUCGAGCUUGUUAACUAUUGUGUUGAUGGUCCUUUCCGUGCCCUUGCCUACGAGUAUGCUCCUAAAGGAUCCCUUCACGAUAUUCUACAUGGUUAGUCAUAAAUUGUACUGCAUUAUCUAUCUCUCUUUUUCUGCAUGUUAUACAGAUAUGUUCAAACUUUAUUAUUAUAAUUUUGAGAUCAAUGCUGGCUGAUUUUCUAUAGAAACUUGUAACUGGUUUAGCCUGUGAUUUUGAAAACAACGUCAUCCUUGGAAAUGAAACUUAACAGCUUUUAAAUUAUACCAUCAAUCAGAUGUUUUUAAUUUUUUAUCCACAUGAUCACCCACUAAUCUUUUAAUUUUUACUGAUUGGAUGAAAACAGCAUGAAAAGAUCUUACACACCCCACUAAUUUCUUCAUUACACACCCCACUAAUUUCUUCAUUACACACCCCACUAAUUUCUUCAUUAUAUAUGCAACUUUAUUAUAAUUGUGGAUAUAGGACGCAAAGGUGUCAAGGGUGCACAACCUGGUCCAGUUCUCUCAUGGGCUCAGAGAGUUAAAAUUGCUGUUGGAGCAGCCAGGGGACUUGAAUAUCUUCAUGAAAAGGCAGAGAUUCAUAUCAUCCAUCGUUACAUUAAGUCUAGUAACAUACUUCUUUUUGAUGAUGAUGUUGCAAAGGUUGCUGAUUUUGAUUUGUCAAAUCAAGCCCCUGAUGCAGCAGCACGUCUUCAUUCUACUCGUGUUCUUGGGACCUUUGGUUAUCAUGCUCCAGAGUAAGUUAUUCCUGGAAGCCUAAUUUGACCUUCUUUUGCAGUGAAUGCUUGCUUUUUCACAUACAGAAGACCGGAUAUGAUAAAGAAUUUCUGCUUAAGUUGAAAGAUGAAAAAACUGGAAUAAGAGAAUAUGAAAAUCACAAUUGAGUAAACAUGAAACUGAUUAAUUGUAAAUUAGAAAUAUCUUUGGACAGUGAUGUACUGAACUUCAAUCCACUUUAGGGCCAAUUAUUAACUCUCUUUACACAAGUUGUGGUUUUUUUAUAAUUUAUUGGGCUUGAUUUUUUUAUGACAGAUAUGCAAUGACUGGACAACUCACUUCAAAAAGUGAUGUUUAUAGCUUUGGAGUUAUACUGCUGGAACUCUUAACGGGGCGUAAACCAGUGGAUCAUACACUGCCACGAGGACAGCAAAGCCUUGUGACUUGGGUACCAAUAUUUACUUGUUUCUGUUCCGUUAAUAUUUAUUUUUGUUUAUUCUUUCCCUUACAAUUUUUGCAUUUUGCACAUUGUGAUUUGUGUUCAUUGGAUUUUAUCAGGCAACACCAAAGCUUAGUGAAGAUAAGGUGAAGCAGUGUGUUGAUGUUAGACUAAAGGGAGAGUACCCUUCAAAAUCAGUUGCAAAGGUAAUUUAGGCUUUUAGUUCAACUCCAAAACGCUUGCUUUUGUACAUUUUGCUUGCAAACAUUUUAUUCUAUUCUUAAUAGGCUUUAAAGAAAUAUAUGCUAUAUGCUAUUUUGACAUUUUUUUUUCUUGCAAACCACACGAUUAUUUAAGAGAAACAUGUUAAUAGUUUUCAUUUCAUCGAAUUAUUUUUGUAUUUUGUAAUAGAUGGCUGCUGUUGCUGCAUUGUGUGUGCAAUAUGAAGCUGAGUUUCGACCAAAUAUGAGCAUUAUAGUGAAAGCUCUACAGCCUCUACUGAAUACUCGUUCUGUUCACUCAAAGGAAGCACCCAAGAUGUAAUAAAAACAUGUAAAUUCCAAAAUCAUUCAUUUCUUCUUUCAGACUGGAGUGCGUUGACCAAUUGUCCUUGUGACACGUGUCAGUAUUACAUAAUCUGAAGCAUAUAGUAUUAAAGUAUAUUUUGCGUUAUUAUAUUUGUAUCUCAACUAAGCAUGUUAUAGCUGAUAUAAAAAAAAUAGUGAUGGUAGGUGGCAAGAGCCUAUCAUAGAUGGUUAAGUUUAUGGUUUGAAUACUUAUUAAUUUGUAUUUGUUUGUUUGUUUUUCCUAUAAGCCGUGUACAAGUGAAUUUAUAAUAUUACUUGUCAUGUACAUCACAUGUCUAGUUGCUUUACUAUUUCAAAGAGAGGUUUCUUCUCAACGCGUAGGGAAUCUAGAAGCAUGCUUCUUUUUUUUCCUUUUUGAUGUCGUUAAGUUUUACCGUUGAAACUUGAAACUUUUUCUAAAUUUGUUCGACAGCAUCACAAUGCGAAUUUAAGAUACUUAUUAGUUUGUCUUUUAGCUCAAUUAUUUUCUUAGAAUCUAAUUCGAGAAGACACUGAUCACUUAUUUCUUACCAAGUUGUUGUCACUUUCUAAGUUUUUUAACCUCUACAAUGGUAUAUCAAAAGGUUUUGUUAUUUACGGAUGGUGCCAUGCACGAUGCAACAGAAAACAGAUCUGGUUGAAUAUAGUUUAGUAACAUAUAAUUAUUUUGUGCACCCAGCAUUUUUUCUUGUACUCUCAACAAUUUUUGUUAUUUUCAAAAUUAUUCUUAACAAAUUUAUAUAUUCAUGAUGUGUAUGGGUCCAUACAGAUUAUCAAUUUAGUAUAUGUUUUACGAAUUAAUUUAAAAUUAAUAAAAUUUAUAACCUAUAACAUUCAAGUUAAUAUGAUGUCCUAAUUAACUAAGCUAAUAAAUUAAUUAUAUUAUAAAAUAAUUAAUGUUAUUAUAUAUAACACUAAAAUUUCUAAUGUACCAAAAUUAAUUAUCACAAAAUUUAUUAUGUAAAUUUAUAUGUACAUUAAAUAUAUAUUAGAAAUUUUAGUGUUAUAUAUAGUAGUAUUAAUUAUUUUAUAACAUAAUUGACUUAUUUAUUCAAUUGAUUAGAGUGUUAUUAUUAAUUUUGAAAAAAAUAAAAAAAAUAUUGGGUGCACAAAACAAUUCCCUUAAUAACAAUACAUUUAACUUGAACCAUGCGUUUAUUGGGUUAUUUUGUUUGGCGUUUUUUUUUGUUGGUCUUAUAGUUUUCAUGGCGGAAGCUUUCUCAAGGUUAAUCGAAGAGUAUAUCACAAAUAAGAAAAAAGGGAGUAUAUCACAAGGUUAUUCAAAUUUUACGUAAUAAAAAUGUUUAAAUAAACAAUUGAAAAGUUGAGUUGGUCUUUGAUUAAAACUGACUGGUUUAACCAAUCAAAUCAAGAAUUAGGGAUCUCGCUAAUUUUAAAAUUUUGACAACGUUAUUUUAUUAUCACUCAAGUUGAUUUAAAUGAAAAAGAAAACUAUAAGGGGAGCAUUGUUUUAAGUUAUCACUUUCUGCUCAAAUAAACCAUUGUUAGAAUUUGUGUAUGAAUUCUUGUCCAUGAGUGAAAGAGAGAGUGUUAGUGACCUUAACCGACCUGUUUGUCUAAAAAUACCUUGAUGCUAUGGCGCUCUUGUUGUAACUUGUCUUUCAAUCUCCAAAGUAUUUUAAGUGAGUUUCAGAUGACACAAAUCUUGCUUUCAUUCAUUUAUUGGCAUUCUUUUGUUUGACUCCUUUUUCUUACUUUUAUUAUUUCGAAUCUUAUAAUCUCCUGUUUUGGGCUUAUAGAUCUUCCCUUCGAUAUGGAUUUGGGAACUGCUUGAAGCACCUAACAUUUUUGUCGAUACAUCCAAUAAUUUUCUAAAAUAUCGAAAAUGCCUUUAUGGAUAUUUUCGAUUAUAAAUAGCAUAUUAGUUUUUUCAUUUUUGAGCACCUUUUUUUUUUCUUCAUAAAAUCGCACUCCCUUAGUGGAACUUGCUUCCUUUAGCGUCCUUUUGUGGGUGUUUGUUGUCGCUGGUGAUGUACAUACGUUGUUUACGAAUAUACAAUGAAGUUUAGUGGUUUUUCGUCGCCGGAGAAGAAGAGAAGUAUAUUAAAAAAAUUCAAAAUAUACAUAUUUUCCAUCCAUAUGUUUUGAUUUUUUUUAUACAUUUAAUUUAUUUAUAAAAUUUGAUAUUUAAUUGAAUGUAUUUAGAUGUUUAUUACAAUAAUUAAUAGUUAAACACAUUUGAUAUUUAAUUAAAUAAUGUAUUUUGAUGUUUAUUACAGUAAUUGAAAAUUAAACAAAUAUGAUAUUUAAUUGAAUGAUGUAUUUAGAUGUUUAUUACAUAAAUUGAUAAUUAAAUAAAUUUGGUAUUUUUUUUACAUAUGUAAAUUUUUAUUAAACCUAUGAUUUUUGUUUACAAUUUAUAUGUGUAAACAAAUUAAUUAUUAGAUAAAAAUUAAUUAUCACAAAAUUUAUUAUAUAAAUUUACAUGUGCAUUAAAUAUAAUUAGAAAUUUUAGUGUUAUAUAUAACGACAUUAAUUAUUUUAUAAUAUAAUUAGUUUAUUAGCUCAAUUGAUUAGAGUAUUGUACUAAUAACCUAAAAGUCACAAAUUUGAUUUCUACUUAGAUCAUUAAUUUUAAGUUAAUUCGUAAAUUAUAUUUUUUAAAAAAAAAUAAAAAAUCCUAUAAGCCAGUUACGAUUUGUCAACCCAUAUUAAACUUACAAAAAGAUAAAAUCAGAAUUUUACAUGUUAUGCUGGAUAUACCAACAAAAAUACUAAGUACCCCUAGCAGUUUCCUAUUGAUUUUGAUACCAUUGUGGAAGAAUGGGAGAGAUAGUGUGUUGGUAAGCCUAGCUUGAAAAGUUUAUUUGCUUAAAAAUUAUUGAUACUCUAUAGUUACAACCCGAUCAUUUACCCUUUCAACCAAAAAUGGUUAAAAAUAGUUAAAUUUUAAUAAAUGUGAAUGUGACAAAAAAAAUACUAAUAUUUUUAUGUAAUGAAGUGUAUAGUAUGUUUUAAUUUUGAUAAUAAAUUAAAGAUAUGCUAAAAUUAUUUAAUAACAUGAUAAAUUAUUAUUGAAUAACAGGAUAAUUAUAUUUUUUUCAUAUUAAUAUAUGUAUAUCACACCAACUAAUUUGGUCUGAACGAAAGAGAUUCACAUCCUUUAAUUUAAAAUGUCUCGGCAGAUUAGUUUUGAAUCCAUGUUUCGAUCAACUGAAUAAUAAUAAAAAAAAGACACACGAACAUGUAAUCAUGAUUCAUGAAUCUAUGUUCUGGUAGAUAAUUCAAAUUGAAACUUCACACGUUUUCCUGCAGUUAACAACGACAGGUUGCCUACGUUGCUGCCAGCCUCAACAACAUCGACACAUUUCCGUUUUAUUCUUUAAAAUGUAUAUAAGAAGACUCUAAUUUUGUUCAUACUGUAAAGUCCAUUCCUAACCCCACCACAAUAAGUCAGUCAUGAAAGUUAGUACAUAGUUUCACCUAUUUCUAACAAAAUCCACCUACUUAUUUCAGUAGAUUCCUAACAUCAACACUUAAGUUUGAUCUUUUUUUAUGGCAAAUAAAACGAAUAAUUCUUAGGUGAGUACAAUACUUAAAGACACAUCUAACUAAUUAAAAGUUUAAAAUAACAUUAAAAUAAAUUCAACUUAAACUCAUUGACCACCGUAAAAAAAACUUUGUUGACGUUUUAUUAUUAUUUUAAGAAUUUAAUAAAUAUGUAUUAUAAGUAAUAAUAUAUUUAUCAUACAUGACAAUUGAAUGAAAAUAUAAAAGAAAAUUAUAUAGGAAUAAUGAUAUGUGAAUUAUUCUUUAUUUUAAAUAUUUCAUUAAUACUUUUUAUUUUUAUCUAUCUCUAUUUUUUCUCACAUCAUAAAGACUAUUACGUUUAUAUUGUUUUAUUUUUUUUCUUUCUCUUUCUAUCUAGAUGUUAGAUAACCUUACACGUGUUUAUCAAACAUUUUCUUUUAUAUUGUUAGUACAUGUAUUAUUUAUUAUUAUUUUAAUACAUUUACUUUUGACUUUAAAUUGAUUGUGCUAAGUUCUUUAAUUUAGGCAGAGCUAUAAUUGAACCUUAGCUUAAUCUAACCAUCAUAUAUGAUAUAUUAAUUCAUAUGUAGGUAAACAAACAAAAAACCACUAAACCAUAAAUGGUAGAAGCAAAUGGGUGAACCACUGCAUUUAAAACAGGCCAAUCUGCUUAACUUUUUUGUAGAGCCUUAUUAUUAUAUAAAUGGUAAGUUAUGCCUUUGAUUAACAUCACAUUGGUUGAAGUUGAAGACUCUUAAUUAAUUGUUGAGAUGGCUAGUGUGGUAAAGGAGCGUUCAGGGGCAGAGAUAGUGUAUGGUUCUGAAGAGUGUUAUCGCCACUCCAUAGAGCUCUUAGAAGAGUUGGGUUUCCCAAAGGGUGUUCUUCCCUUGCAAGACCUGGUGGAGUGUGGUAGGGUUAGAGAAACUGGGUUUGUGUGGAUGAAGCAGAAGGCACCUUAUGAGCAUUUCUUUGAGGGAACCAACACGAGGGUGAGCUAUGCUGUUGAGGUCACUGGCUAUGUGGAGAAGUUUAGGAUGAAGAAAAUGAGUGGCAUUAAGAGCAAGCAGAUGAUGCUGUGGGUGCCAAUAACUGAGAUGAGCAUUGAAGAUCCUAAGGGGCAGAAGAUACUCUUUAAGACCCCUAUGGGGAUUGGAAAGUCCUUCCCUAUCCUGGCUUUCAUGACCCCAGAGGAAAAGGAAAAGCACCUGCUGUUGCAGUAUAAGGAGAUUCAAGAAAACAGUUAGCUUUCCACGUAUACCAUGAAUUCAUAUUAUGAUACUGUUGAGGUCCUCAUCAUGAAUAAUGACCAACUAGAGUAUUUAAGAAAGUUUUAUUAUACUAGUUUAAUUUUUAUGUACUCUCACAAUUGACAAUUUUAUGCUAUAAAUUAAUCAGAAGUUAUUAUUAGUAUAAAUUUUAAGAUAUUUAUUGUAAAAAUCAACAUGCUGUACAUGACAAAUUGUUAUCAAAUGAGAAGUGUAAAAAUCCUUUGGUACUAUUUACUCUUACUAUACAUAAAAUAGUUAAUUUCAUGGUUAUGAUUCAUGCGGCGUGCAAUUGAACACUUUUGUUCUUUUGGUUGAUUGGUAGAAUGCAUGUUUACUAUUUUCAUGAUUGUUAUAUUUGUUUCAGAAGAAUCGAAUGAUACGUUACGAAAUGAACAUGUUAUUAAAUACUAGUGUUGCAUGCAGAAUGGGAACAAUUGAGAAGGUUGUUGUUGGGUCUUUUACGGUUGACUUGCAUAUUUAAGACGAUAUUCGCAACAAAAUUAUUUUCUAUCCAUGACAAGGUAUCUAGCUGCUACGUCUGCAUAUAUACACGAGGGAAAAAUCCUAUUAAUUAACUCAAAACAGAGAGACUGCACCUUGCCAAGUUUAGUUGUUUAUGUAAAUCAAAAUUUGGCAAUGAUGCUUAUUUAAUUAUAGAAAUUUGAAAAGUUAUUAAUUAGGCCAUCUUGUUUGCUUGUUGAGAGGACUAGAUGGUGAAAGCUUUUCACUGAGAUGAUAGCAGCGGGCAUUCAGCUAAAGUCUGAUACUGAAAUUUUAAAAUUCAAAAUUAAUUUAGCCUUAUUCACCCAUGUUUUGAACUUUAUGUGAAAUGAUUUAGGUUUAAGUCUCCGGUCAUCAUCAUCUCACCUACUGAAUGUUUAGGAGUCAUAAUUAAUUUUAAUAAGUUUCACCUCAUUAAAAACUAGUUUUACCUAAUUCACCCAUAUUAAAAUGAUUUAGGUUCAAGUGUCAUCGUCACAUGUGCUGAAGGACAAGGUCUCCAACAAGUCUCCGGUUCCAUCCCAUUUUGAGAUUCAUUUUAGCAUGACUCGUAUAUCAUUAAUUUUUUUAGAUUUAAAAACUUUAUUGGGUCUAAAAAACUAAUCCAGUCAAAUUUAUAAUUAAUUGAAAAAUAUAACUUUUAGUUCUAAGUUGUACACACUAACACGAGGUUGCUGCAAUUAUUGAACCUCAGAAUCAAAGCUGAAAAUACGCAUGAAAGCUUGAAUUGCUAUUACCAAAACCAACAAUUCUCAAGUUCAAUCCCAAAUGCAAAAAAAUUUGGGUCCUAAACUUUCAUUUCCCUUGUCUUUUAUAUUAUUUUUUUUAUCCUAAAAGUUAAAAACCACGGGUGUCAUGCAUAACGUAGACUUAAGAGAAUUUUAUACAUGAUGAAAA